RNAcentral lists this long non-coding RNA (81107 nucleotides) under Eucalyptus grandis. Its description in RNAcentral is "long non-coding RNA (EGRA_LNC001423)". Lineage: Eukaryota; Viridiplantae; Streptophyta; Magnoliopsida; Myrtales; Myrtaceae. The record is from RNAcentral.
UUGAAAUCUACGGCUAUUGAAGAAUUGCCUGAAUCCAUUGGUUCUUUGAAGGAGCUCAAGACUCUAGAUGCCUCUUAUUGCAAAUCGUUAGCCCACAUACCCAAUUCAAUAGGCAAUUUAACAUCUCUGUCUUACCUUGACCUGAAUGAAUGCCAUAAACUUGUUCAACUUCCAGACUCUAUAGGCUCCCUCGUGUCCUUGCUGUGGUUGUUAUUAUCGGGAUGCCAUUCGUUGAAACAAAUUCCAGACUCGAUCGGAAAGUUGACAUCAUUGACGGAGCUGAAUUUGAAAUCUACGGCCAUUGAAGAAUUACCUGAAUCCAUUGGUUCUUUGAAGGAGCUCAAGACUCUAGAUGCCUCUUAUUGCAAAUCGUUAGCCCAUAUACCCAACUCAAUAGGCAAUUUAACAUCUCUGUCUCACCUUGACCUGAAUGAAUGCCAAAAACUUGCUCAACUUCCAGAAUCCAUAGGCUCCCUUGUGUAUCUACAGUGGUUGUUAUUGUCAGGAUGCCACUCGUUAAGACAAAUCCCAGACUCGAUCGGAAAGUUGACAUCAUGAUAAAGCUGGAUUUGAAAUCUACGGCCAUUGAAGAAUUACCUGAAUCCAUUGGUUCUUUGAAGGAGCUCAAGACUCUAGAUGCCUCUUAUUGCAAAUCGUUAGCCCACAUACCCAACUCAAUAGGCAAUUUAACAUCUCUGUCUCACCUUGACCUGAAUGAAUGCCAAAAACUUGCUCAACUUCCAGAAUCCAUAGGCUCCCUUGUGUAUCUACAGUGGUUGUUAUUGUCAGGAUGCCACUCGUUAAGACAAAUCCCAGACUCGAUCGGAAAGUUGACAUCAUUGAUAGAGCUGGAUUUGAAAUCUACGGCCAUUGAAGAAUUACCUGAAUCCAUUGGUUCUUUGAAGGAACUCAAGACUCUAGAUGCCUCUUAUUGCAAAUCGUUAGCCCACAUACCCAAUUCAAUAGGCAAUUUAACAUCUCUGUCUUACCUUGACCUGAAUGAAUGCCAUAAACUUGCUCAACUUCCAGACUCUAUAGGCUUCCUCGUGUAUCUACCGCGGUUGUUAUUGUCAGGAUGCCACUCGUUGAGACAAAUCCCAGACUCGAUCGGAAAGUUGACAUCAUUGACAGAGCUGCAUUUGAAAUCUACGACCAUUGAAAAAUUACCUGAAUCUAUUGGUUCUUUGAAGGAGCUCAAGACUCUAGAUGCCUCUUAUUGCAAAUCGUUAGCCCAUAUACCCAACUCAAUAGGCAAUUUAACAUCUUUGUCUUCCCUUGACCUGAAUGAAUGCCAAAAACUUGUUCAACUUCCAGACUCUNNNNNNNNNNNNNNNNNNNNNNNNNNNNNNNNNNNNNNNNNNNNNNNNNNNNNNNNNNNNNNNNNNNNNNNNNNNNNNNNNNNNNNNNNNNNNNNNNNNNNNNNNNNNNNNNNNNNNNNNNNNNNNNNNNNNNNNNNNNNNNNNNNNNNNNNNNNNNNNNNNNNNNNNNNNNNNNNNNNCUUAUUGCAAUCGUUAGCCCACAUACCCACACUCACACAGACAUUUAAACUCUCUGUCUCACCUUGAACAGAAUGAAUGCCAAAAACUUGCUCAACUUCCAGAAUCCAUAGGCUCCCUUGUGUAUCUACAAUGGUUGUCAUUAUCCAAAUGCCACUCAUUGAGACAAAUUCCGAAUUUGAUUGGAAAGUUGAUAUCAUUGACAGAGCUACAUUUGAAAUUUAUGGCCAUUGAAGAAUUACCUGAAUCCAUUGGUUCUUUGAAUGAGCUCAAGACUUUAGAUGCCUCUUAUUGCAAAUCGUUAGCCCGCAUACCUAACUCAAUAGGCAAUUCAACAUCUCUGUCUUGCCUUGACCUAACGGAAUGCCAUAAACUUGCUCAACUUCCAGACUCUAUAGGCUUCCUCGUGUAUCUACCACGGUUGUUAUUGUCGGGAUGCCACUCAUUGAGACAAAUCCCAGACUUGAUCGGAAAGUUGACAUCAUUGAUAGAGCUGCAUUUGAAAUCUACGGCCAUUGAAGAAUUACCUGAAUCCAUCGGUUCUUUGAAGGAGCUCAAGAUUCUAGAUGCCUCUUAUUGCAAAUCGUUAGCCCACAUACCCAACUCAAUAGGCAAUUUAACAUCUCUGUCUCACCUUGACCUAAAUGAAUGCCAAAAACUUGCUCAACUUCCAGACUCCAUAGGCUCCCUUGUGUGCUUGCCGCGGUUGUUAUUGUCGGGAUGCCACUUGUUGAAACAAAUUCCAGACUCGAUCGGAAAGUUGACAUCAUUGACUGAGCUACAUUUGAAAUGUACGGCCAUUGAAGAAUUACCUGAAUCUAUUGGUUCUUUGAAGGAGCUCAAGACUCUAGAUGCCUCUUAUUGCAAAUCGUUAGCCCAUAUACCCAACUCAAUAGGCAAUUUAACAUCUUUGUCUUCCCUUGACCUGAAUGAAUGCCAAAAACUUGCUCAACUUCCAGACUCCAUAGGCUCCCUCGUGUCCUUGUUGCGGUUGUUAUUAUCGGGAUGCCAUUCGUUGAAACAAAUUCCAGACUCGAUCGGAAAGUUGACAUUAUUGAUUGAGUUACAUUUGAAAUCUACGCCAUUGAAGAAUUACCUAAAAGCAUUAANNNNNNNNNNNNNNNNNNNNNNNNNNNNNNNNNNNNNNNNNNNNNNNNNNNNNNNNNNNNNNNNNNNNNNNNNNNNNNNNNNNNNNNNNNNNNNNNNNNNNNNNNNNNNNNNNNNNNNNNNNNNNNNNNNNNNNNNNNNNNNNNNNNNNNNNNNNNNNNNNNNNNNNNNNNNNNNNNNNNNNNNNNNNNNNNNNNNNNNNNNNNNNNNNNNNNNNNNNNNNNNNNNNNNNNNCAAUCCUGCAUUCCUGAAUUUUUCUCACUAAACUUUCUCAAGAGACUCACUCUUUCUAACUGGCUUAAAUGUCUCUCAAACCUUUCUAUAACAUGUUAUAGAAAAGCUAUGAAACUUGAUUUUGUAUCUUACAAAAGUUCGAGCUGUUAGUUGGGCAUUUUAUUUACCUUUUGUCUUGUGAUACAGUUCUCUUAAAGCGUUUCAAGACUCCUCCUGCCAACAACUUAGCCAUGGACUACCAAACAACAGAUGAACAUCCUUUGAAGAGAUCAAAACCUUUUGGAAUCUCAAAUGAAGUACUUAUUUCAUUUUGCUUUUUCUUUGCCGUUCUUCAGUUAUUAAAGGAUGGUUCCAUCUACAAAGAGAAGUAUUUUACUGAAUGAUCAAUUAUUUGUUAUGUGUGGAAUGCUUUGAUCAACAUUCGUAACUAGAUCCAUCAAACUUGUUACAUUCUCGCUAUUUUAAGUCUUUUGUUCUGGAAGUAGGGAUUUUAGUUUUCUUGAAUUAUGAAGUUAAGGUGGAAUAUAUUGCCCGUUCUCUUGUGUUUCUCUCUCUUAAUUAUCUUUAUUUGCACGCCAUUGAUCGAAAACUUUUUGAAAGCGCACUCAUUUGGGUGCUAUUGCGGCAUAUGAUCAUGCAUUGAGAAUCUUCACGAGUGUAGGGGUUAUCUCACAUCAGUUGUGGAAGGAAAAAGUAGUUAGUUUAUAAUUGUGAUGGAAAGUCUCAUCCUUUAAGUUAGCUUUUAAGAUGAGAUAAGCCCAAGACCACCCAACAAAAAAAAACUUUUAGUUUUGAGGUUUCUAGAUACCCUUAAUCUUCAUGAUGUUAACCUAAUGAAAUUAUUGAAGAUUGGAAGGAUAACAAGAAAGUUUGAUGGAGAGAGAAAGGAGCAAAAGGGCUAGGGUUGUCAAUUUGUGUCCUCUUGUCAUAAUUGUGUUUGUGAUUGUGUCAAUUCAUCAUGACUUCUAUUAGACAUGUCAACCCAUUGAAUUAGAUGAAAACAUGUAAAUAUCUCAUCAAGUUAAAUGUAUCGUGAUGUGUCAUAUUGGGUUGUGUUUGUGUUUUUCGUGUUUGGUAUUGUUAUGUAAACAGUAUGUGUCACUAUUGGCAGCAUUAAUGAGAAGCGUGGACUGGAUAGGUGUUGAUUAUGUCUCCUCCCAUCAUGCAUGCAUUGUGCUCACGUAUGCUAGUACAAGAGGGGCUCUCAUAUGAGUCUUUUGCAUCUUUUGAGUGCCAUGGUUUUGAUCAAUUUUCUAAAGGACUCAUUAGUUUUGUAAUCUUCAUGACUUUCUAAUAGGUGAAUAAUUUGCCGGGAAAGAUUUUUCCCAUUACAUACAACUACCAGAGCUUUGGUCAGAGUUCUUAUUCUUCAGAUGACUUGCCUAGAAAUGUAGUCGUUACCCUAAGUCAUGAUUCACUUGUUAAAAGUAUGGAUUUCCAUCCAGUGCAACAAAUUCUACUGCUCGGUUAGCACUUCUUUCUUACUCUAUGAAGAACUUGUUUCUUGAUCUUCUUUAGUUGGAUAUACUUGUUGGCCAUAAGUUUGUGUUUUGGUGCUUGGAAGAUUCCUGUUUGUUGUUUUUUAUGCUCGCUUCAGCUAUUUGAAACCAAGGGAUAUGAUUCUUCAAAUUUUCUGCAUCAAUAAUUUUUAGUGGGAACAAAUACGGGUGAUGUCAUGGUAUGGGAAGUAAGCAACCGUGCAAGGAUUGCUUUGAGAAAAUUCAAGGUUUGGAAUUUGGGAACACGUUCAAUGGCGUUGCAGGUAUAUAAGUUCCACUCUAAAUAAAGUCAUGUAUCUUGUUUUUGGACAUGUAAUUGGGGGUUUUGAUUCUUUGUAGGCUUCUCUAGCCAAUGACUAUACAGCAUCCAUUAAUCGUGUAACGUGGAGUCCUAAUGGACUUUAUUUUGGUAUGUACAGAUGUCACUUCUACUUGUCUUAUUGCAAAUUGAUGAAACAACUAACGCGCUGAGAAUGAGACUUCAUUGCAAUAUUUUCAGGAAAAAUGUUCAUAUGCUGCUAUUACUGAUGAUUUGUGGUGUUCACUUUAGGUGUUGCUUAUUCCAAACACAUGGUGCACAUAUACUCGUAUUACGGUGGUGAUGACAUGAGGAACCACCUUGAGGUUUGUUGCUAAACAAGGAGUGAAAAAAUUCGGCUUCUUUUUGUAGACAAUUGCCACAUAAAAGUGAGUAAAACUUGAUUUUGACUCUAAACUAAUGUUUGAUACAGCUCGAGGCUCAUGCUGGAAGUGUUAAUGAUCUUGCCUUUUCAUAUCCAAACAAAUGGUUAUGCGUUGUGACCUGUGGAGAGGACAGGUCAAUCAAGGUAUAUCUUGAUUAUUUUCCUCAGUGUUGCAGCGUUCCAUCGUUUGAUCCCUUAACUAAGCUAGUAGUUUUGUAGGUAUGGGAUGUAAUGACUGGGGCUAAGCAAUACUGUUUCAAGGGUCAUGAAGCACCUGUAUAUUCUAUUUGUCCACACCAUAAAGAAAAUAUCCAGGUACUUGAUUAUUUCACGUACUAACAAAGACACCCUGCGAGCAUGGCCAAUCAGAUGUACCCUUGACUAUACACUAGACUUUUGUUUUCUAAAACUCAGUUAGGUAAAAAAAAAAUUGGUUCAAUUUGUAUGAGGAGUAUGAACCUAUGUUUUGAAGGACCUUGUUCAUUUCAAGGGUUUUGCAAGUCUUCCGACUUUUAACCUGUCUUGAUUAGAAUGUGCUUGUCAAACAUGGUGAAAUUGGUCCAAAGAUCAACCUACUAAUUUGAUUCUUUCAAGUAAUGCUACUAAGCAUCGACAACUAGGUAAAGGUCUUUGCAAUAAUGACUUCCUGCUUAAUUAUAUAUUCAAAAAGAAAAUUCCUCUACUACCAUUGAUUGUUCUCCCUUAGUUUUCUCUUUUAGUCACGAUUGGUUAAAUUUAUAAUAGAAGGCUGUUUAUUGUGUUUGAGUGGAGCAGCAAUUGGCAAUGUUAUCUUCUUCUUCUUCUUCUUUUUAAACAUUUAUGGUUGUGCAUAGUGUACACUUUAUUACAAAGAUGUCUUAUGAAAUCUCAUCAUUCUAGGAUGCUAUGUUUAAAUAAUUAUAGUUUAAGUGGAUGUGCUCUAUUUGGGCAUGUUACUGAAAUUGGUUAUACAAUUGUUUUAUCGUGUAGUUCAUCUUCUCAAUAGCAACAGAUGGGAAAAUUAAGGCUUGGCUUUAUGACAACAUAGGGUCAAGAAUUGACAACGAUGCACCGGGUCACUCUUCUACCGUGAUGGCAUACAACGCCGAUGGAAAAAGGUUUAGACCAUCAGCAUUGUAUAUCAAGCUUGAUUUCAUCCCGAGUCUUUCUUUUUCACUGAAAUAACCUAUUUUAGCGAUUUUAAUUUGCUAUAGGUUGUUCUCGUGUGGGACCAAUAAAGAAGGAGAGUCAUACUUGGUUGAAUGGAAUGAAAGUGAGGGGGGUAUCAAGCGUACAUAUCAUGGACUUGGAAAGAGUUCUAGUGGGGUUGUGCAGUUUGAUACCAUCAAAAAUAGAUUUUUGGCUACUGGUGACGAGUUCAUUAACAAAUUUUGGGAUAUGAACAAUGAUAGCCUACUUACAAGUACCGAUGCUGAUGGUGGAUUGCUGGUAAUUCACUGUUGUUAAUUUAUUUUGACUGAAUUAACUGAAACUUUCUAUUAAUUACCUCACUCUUUAAAUUUGCAGGCUUCACCUUGUAUUAGAUUUAACAAGGAAGGAAUCCUGUUAGCCGUCUCAACAAGUGAUAAUAGCAUCAAAAUUCUAGCAAAUUCAUUUGGGAUUGAGCUGCUAAGGACUGCAGAAAAACAUAUGCUUCUAGAGUCACUGCUAGGAGUCUUUUGAAGGUAAGCUUUUUUAACAAUACACUAACUUUAUGUAAAGAAGUCACUACUAGUCCAUUGUGGUCGGCUAAAACCCAAGGACUUGAUUACACUAGUUAUUUAAUUAAUGCUCUUUCAGUACCUAGACUUGAUUUAACUAAGUGUCCAUGCAGUCUUGGACCCUUUUAUUGACCUAUGCCACUUAAUUGGUGUCCAUGCAUGAGUGCACAAUAAAGGAAAAGUAAACAAUCAUUAUUAAUUCAACAAAAGUAAAGUAUAAGAAAAUACACCUAAUGAAGUGCCAAGCGAAGAAUACACAUGGCUUUGUUUUUAAGCCUCAAGACAACAACCUUGUAAGCUAAAUUCAAAUUAAGUCCAAUUCCUUUUCUCAAACACUAUUCUAUGUAACCUCACCUAAAUCAAAGGCACUCAUUAAAAUCUCUAAACCAUAUGUAGAGUAACUAAAACUAGAAGAAACUAAGCUACAUCUAGCACUAAAACUUAACGACCUAAUCAAGGUCUUUGUUAUUAACCAUUUUCCAAUUUUUCAUAUUUUCGAUUUUUUUUGAAAAUUUAAUUUUAAUUAUUUUCUGAAAAUAGGAAAUCGGGCCGGGCCCUUGGGCCUGGUCCGGAUAUGAGCCUCAUACUGGUCUCACGAAUCUGGGCUAAUGGACAAAAUUCGGGCUAUUAUAUCCAGAUCCAUCCAAUUCUAACUCUACUGAGCCCAAUUCAGAUUAUACCUAUUUUAAGCCCAUUUACCCAUGGAAGCUACUCUAGCUCACUUUCUCAUCUAACUGCACCAAGUCCAUCUUUAAGCCCAAUUUCUAUUACAAAUAGAUUAAACCCUAAGCCCACGCCAACCCUAUCUUACUAUUAUUAUUUUUAAUCCAUUUUUUCCUCUUUUCUUACAUCUUUCGUCAUUUUUUAUUAUUAUAAAAGUAAUCAAUGUUAGGUGUGCGAAGAGCCCCCCCUUUUUUUUAAGAGACUACCUGGUAAACUUUCCUGCAGUAACUUAAGCUAUAAAGGAUGGGUGAUGUAGCUUUUGUAAGGUCUUUGACAAAUAUUUCACAACUUUUUAGGAAAUUGCUUCGCCCGAUUUUGGGAUGUUGGAGCUGCUGUCGACGGCAUUGGGAAACAAUUUGGUAAAAGAAGUUGAAUUAACCUUCCAGCAAAGAAUUAUAAAGUGGAGAUGGUCAAUGGCAUUGGGAAACAAUUUGGUAAAAGAAGUAUUUCUAAGAGGUAUAAUAAGUCAGAACUCAACAAAAACGUCAGUGGAAGUGUUCAAUCAUGAAGAAGAAGAAGAAGCAAAACACCAUUCACUAAGGGAUAACUCGUGCACGCAGAAGGGAGGAAGCAGGGGAAAAUGGCUCCAUCUUCCAUCGUCUCCAGUCACCAUUGGAUAACCUUUCGUCGCGGUGUCUCAAGUUCCGAUAUAGCCGCUAGCUACCAUCGCCGUUCAUUACGAGUUCCAACUCCUUCGUUGGUUGCGCCGUCGACCAUCAGUCUCAGGAGGAUCACGUUUGUUCAUUUCAUCGCGAGCACCAUUCCAGAACCAAAACAAACAAAAACAUCGAGCAAGGAAAAUUCAUCUAAAAAAAGCGAUUCCGUUCGAUUCAGUUGGCGAUUUCAAGCGUUCUGAAUCGAUCACAGUGGCCGUCGCCGGCAUCAACAGCCUCUUCAAUGCCGCGACUCAUCUCCUUCGUUUCCCUUCAACGGCCGAGAGCUUCGAAAUGUUGUCGUUCCGCUCGAAGCUUCUCCACCUGUUCAGGUUUCGAUCAUCGACACGUUCUAGAGCUUCUUUCAGCGAUUCGUGCGCCAAACCGCGGCCUCAGUCCACUUGAUUAAGCAGGUAGCAUCUCCUGUUCUGUUGUCACGAGUAAGAGGCCGAGAGUCUGAUUCUCUUAUUAUGAUGAAAUUGAUCAUAUUUGAAUUUUUUUCUUUGACUUCGAACAUCAUGUACUGAUUUAGGUUGAGUCUAGUUGUAAAUUCGAGUUCGAAAUGGCUUUGAUAUGUUCCACAACCGAUUGACCAUAAUCUGUUCGAUGAAAUGUGUCUGAGACCCUGUUGUGAAUUGAUUCCAGUAAUCGUCCGAUCUGAAAAAGCGCAUUAGUGAUGUUCACUUGAUAUUGUUUGAUUUUUCAAUCUUUAGACAUGAUUACGAGUAUAUGCCAUAGUUGCCAAGAAUAAAACUGACUCUCCGCAUGUUUUCUCAGUGCUUCUUGUGAUCCUUUGGUGAUAGGUGGUGGUUGCCGGCAAGGGGAGAUGGAAUGGAGUCGCUGGCACAUGCAUUAGUCUUUGGUGAUGAUCGUAGCAUGCCCUGUUGAACAGAAUCGAGACGAUGUCGCUGAGCGUUAAUCGCCAAUUCAGAUAAUGAACUGCGGCCGACACAUGUUGCGGUCACUAACGGGAGCAAUGUUAUGCCUAGUCACUAUCCGCGUCCUUGCCACUGAGUCACCGUGCAAUCUCCUCGACUGCCAAGCUUUGCUUCAGUCCAUGCCUUGCAGACCAUCCUUGCCAUUGCAAUUGCUGUGCCACACCUUACCAUAAUGGCUAUUCAAGUGAACUCCGCAUGCGAUAGCACUGCCAUCAGAAUAAACCGCCAUACAUUACCAUUAUGGAUUGAUGUGGCAAUAGAGCUAUAUCCAUCACGUGUCUUUACAAUCGGUUGUUUCCGUUCCAACUGAGUUUUAGAGUCCAUUGUAUGUUCAGAUUUCCUUCGCUGCUUUGUUUUAAUGUUCAGGAUUUUGCGAGUCUUCUUAAACCGAAUCAUGGGAAAACUAAAUGGUUCGAAGUCCAGUCGUCAUGGGGUCGAUACUUUGUUGUAAAAUCAUUGUGCAUUACCUGCUUCCUGAUUCUUGUCUUGUCCUUUGGUUAUUGGUUACUUCACCUUCGUUGAUUUCAUUGUCCGGAAGUAGGUAAUCAAUCCAAGAGCACCUGCUAAAAUUGCAUUUUAGUUGUGUCAUCUGCUUCCUGCCUCAUUCUCUGUGAAUGACAUUCUACUUCUUGCGUGCUGUUGAGGGAAAUCAAUGGUUGACAAUCGAUAUGAAGUGAGCAAGUUAUACUUGUUUCCUGUCUUUAGUUGAUAACUUUUUGCGUAUGACAAUCGAUUAAUUAAACCAGUCCAUAGCUUGCACGAAAAUAGUAAAUGAGGAUUUACUUCUUUCUUGGAAUUAUCAAUGUCAUCGCUUUGUCUCUGGUAGUGGAAGAGUUUAUCAUUCUUUUUGAACUUUUUGAACUUGUAUAAGAAUCAAUGGAAUUCUCAUGGAGCAUUGAGUACCCAAAAUUUACAAGUUAUAUGAAGUGGUGGUGUCCUUUUGUUGCAUAUGCUGGAGUUUAGCGGUUAGUGUUCAUCUAUGUUUGUUGAACCGUUUGAUUUAUCACUUCAAUCGACAAAAUCUCAUAAACAGACAUGACAAUUGCGAGAGACGUCUUUGAACUGGCACUUUGGUGAUGAUGGUGCUCCUUCGUGUCGACUGUAUUUACUUGUUUGAGGAAGAAUCAUUUAUGAUAUUUUAUGAUAUUGGAGAAGUGAAUAUGUAUGGAAGGUUCCUUGGAUUCACAAGAAUAAAACCACUCGUGAUCCUGGAUCCACUCAUUGAAGAAAUGGAGAGAGAGAAUUUCCACAUGGACGAUGUGAAUGGGUCGUUGCUAAGCUUCUCGGCUGUUUGUUGAAUUUGAUUUGCAUAAUGGGUUGAAGCUAGCAUUUUAGUAGUGCUGGAAUUCCAAAACUGAGACGAACUGAAGAAUUUGAUGUUAAGUAUCUAAGCAAUGCCCACAAUUAGUAACAUGUUCUGAGCUAAUCAAGGUUUGUCAUCUGAGUAUAUCGCCAAGUAGUGCAUAACUUAGUCCUUUUUAGAGUAAUGCAUCAUUUAGUUAGAAAUUCGAGCAUGUUUAGAUUAGUACUUAGCUCAUGUGGGUUACUGUCUCGGGCUUAGCUCGAGAAUUCCAGCACAUUAUGACUGGAUGUAUAACCUUCCACAUCAUACAAAACCACAUAUCAGACGAACCCAAAGAUUUUCCGUUGUUCCACAAAUUAAGCAGGCUGGCACUUUAUCUUGCUGCUGGCAUAGUCGGCAAACCUGAUAAAGAACAGAACCAAAAUCUUAUUCACAAUCAGUUCAAAGAUGGGCACCCCUGAUGAUGUCGCAGUACGUAACCACAUUUCCGAUAAAGUUAAUCCUUGCAGUCAAUCAAGUAUGUGCCAUACUUGAAAUCUUUAGCAAUGUAAUUGAACCUUCCAAGAAAAUCAAAGGAAGACCCUUGGCACGGCACCAGCCUGGGGUAAUGUUGUAUUGACUUAUUUUAAACAUAAAGAUUGAAGAAUCAAGCGAAUGUGCACAUGUCCAUCAACGUAUGUCUUACAGGGCAUUUUUUUCAUCUUCAUAUAUAUAUUCGAGUUCAAAGGUACAUUUUUGCUACAAAUUCAUGUGGAUAGAGCGCAAUCACAAUUAAGUAGAAUAUCACUUGAAAUGUAAAAUAUAACCAUGCACCAUCUUAAUUAAGAGCCUGGAGAAGUUUAAGGUGAGGUGAGUAUAUAAGUUUAACACAUAAACUCAAUAUUUUAUGUUUGGACAGUGCUAUUACUUUCGUCACCAUUUGACUCACAAGAAAUAUGACGUAGAAGUGACAGGACCAUCAAAUCUAAUAACCAUGAUGAGACACUGCAAAUAUUCUCAUGUGAGAGUAUGAGAAACAACAGAAAAACAAGUCCAAGAAGCCACACAUUGACAUAUUCCAAAUCACCAAAGAAAUGUCAUAAUAAUUUAAAAAGAAAUCCAAAACUUUGUAAGCAAGAUAGAGUAAAGAUCUAACAUAAGCCUGAAUGAAAAAAAAAAGAUUUUUUUUUUUAUAUACUUUUCAUCCCUGUACUGCCACCUUUUUAUGUAAUUAUGUCCAUAUACCUUAAACUUGUCGAAUCAAGUCUUUCUAUAUUUACAAAUUUACUAAUCAAGACCCAACCAAAUUUAAUUGACGUAACCCUCGAAUGAUGCCCCAAUAUGAUGCAAAUGCUCACGUAGACAUAUGUGGAAAAAUUUAGCCAAUGUAGACAAUGUUAGAAUGUGACAUGGAUAAAAUUUAGCUAAGGUGUUAGUCAAAGUAACGUCCAUAUUGGAGAUUUUUUUAUCUAUGUCACACACUGACAUCAUUUGAUGAUUACGCCAACUGGAUCUGGCAGGAUUUUGUGUUUAUUGGGAUUUGAUUAGAAAAAUUUGUUAAAUUUGAAUGACUUGACUCGACAAAAUAAAAGUACGAUGGAGAGAACAGUAAAGUAGGGAAUAUUUCAAAAAACCAACCGCAAAUCCAGUCAGCAAAUAUCAGCAAAAGAUAGUGGCAGUUGCUGAGAAAUUAUGGUCUAAACUACUCUUAUCUGCACCAGCAAAAGAAAGCCUCACCUGACAAGACAACUAAGUCUAUUUUGUACCACAUGAGCAAUGAAUGGAAUGGUCACUCUUGAGUACUCAAAAUUCCGCUGGUGUGUGGGUCCGAUCUCAACGACAUCAAAAGCCAAGAAAAGGUCGCGACUGUGAACAUGUCUAUAAACUUAGUCUCAUUUUAUCAUAUGCUUUGACAGGGAACAAAAUUUCUAAGCCAAACUAGCAGCUGUGAGGGAAAUAUAUUCAGCAAGGGAUGUUGACACCUAAAAUUUGAUGAUCUAGUUAAUUAUUCAUUGCAAAAAUUAAGUAAAAUUGAGGAUUGAUCCCGGUCCCUAAAAAGAUAUUAGCUAAGUUGCAUAUACAUAUUAGAAGCAUUUUUCAUUCAUUAAAUAGUAAGCCCACAUAUGAUUACACUUCGAUUGGACUGGUGUAAGGAGAUUAUGAGCUUAAUUGAGUUUAUUAGACUAAGCCCAUGAGAAUGAGAAAUUCGGCCUAACCCGUCUAUUUCCUUUGCUCGACCAGACAUCAAAUAUGCAGUAUAAGGAAUUUAGCACGAAUGAAGGAGCAAAUAUUCGUUAUUAAGGAAUAUAUUCUGAAUAAUUUUUUGGGAGAAUUAACUGGCCAAUUCUUUCCAUUAUUAAAGAUGCGCAUCAUGCUUAAAGUAGGCAAGUUAAUUUUUCUUAGUCAAAUCUGGAAGUAAUUGAACACUAUUUGAAAGGAUAAAAACAAAAAUAGAAAAAUAAAAAGGAAUAAAACAGGGAAAAAGUACAAAAAAAGUCAUAAACUAUUGCAUCGAUAUCAAUUCAAUUCUAAAAUUUUCAAUUAAAUCAAUUAAAUCAUAAAUUUUUUCACAUUGGUACUAAUUUAGUCAAUUUGACCAAUUUUGGUCGGCUAGUGGCCAGAUGUUGACGUAGCAAUUUUUAAAUAAUUUUUUUGAAUUUUUUUAUUAAUUUUUCCUUCUUCUUUUUUUCCCUUUUCCUUUUCUCUCUUCUUCCACCUUAAACUAUACUCACGGUGGCCAGCAAACCUUUGGUGAGGCUCGCCAACCAUUGGGCGAGGGCCGUGAAGCCCUUGUCGGCCGCUAGUGAGGGUCGUGGCCUUCGCUUAGCCUUGCCCAAGGCCGCGAGCGAGGCUACUUUGCCUAGGUCCAGGUGAGACCAGCCUCGCCCUAGCCUUGCCUUAGGCGAAGGCGGCCUCGCCCGUGGUUGGCAAGGCCAUGGCGGCCAUCGCCAAGGCCUAAGCAAAGGUCACCAUGUCCUCACCUGCAGCCCCGGGCGAGGGUGUGACCCUCCCUGGCAACUGGCCAGUGCUUCGCGGCCCUUGCCUAGUGGUUGGCGAGCCUUGUGGGAGGCUUGCUGACCACCGCGAGUAUAGUUCAAGGAGGAAGAAGAGAGAAAAGAAAAGGAAAAAGGAAAAGGGAAAAAAGGAAAAAGAAAAGGAAAGGAAAAGGAAUUAUUAUAAAAGAUUAAAAAAAUUAUUAAAAAUUGUCACAUCAUUGUCUGGUUAGCGUCCACAUCAGUGUCGGCUUGCCAAAAUUAGCCAGAUGGAAUGAAUUGGUACCAAUAUGAAAAUGUUUAAGACUAAAUUGAUUCAAAUGAAAAAGUUUAGGACUAAAUUGGUACAAAUGCAAUAAGUUUAUGAUUUUUUUGGUACUUUUCCCAAGAAAAUGGUGAAGAAAGAAAGAGAAUGAAGGAGCAGAGGACGCCGACAAAGAGGAAGAGGAGGGAGCGAAGCCAAUGGUAGCGUGGGAGGAGCUAGGGUUGGAGGCGGCGGCGGUGACGAAAGGGAGGGGGUGAAGGAGAAGGAGAGAGGGGAGGAGGAGUUAGGGUUUACGGUCACAAGCAAAGAAAGAAAAGAGAAAACAAGAAAAAAGAAAGGAAAAGAGAAAACAAGAAAAAGAAAAAAAGAGAGAAAGAAAUAAGAAAAAAAAUAUAAUAUUAACAAAUUCAAAAUUUUUAGUUAGUAAAAUUUUUAGGAAUAAAUUUUUCAUUAUCUAAGGACUUUAAAACAUUUUGGAAAAUGUUUUCCAAUUCUUUCAAAUAGAAAUCGUUUUUAUGAAUUUAAGCUUUGGAGGGAAAACCUAUUCUAUUGAUUAGGAAAAUAGUUUAUGUUAACUUAUUUUCCUAAGUGAAUCAAACACUGGUAAAUGAGGAAAACGCUUAUUUAGGAAAUUGUUUUUCGCAAAACAAACACACCCUUCACUGUGUUCCCAAACACCUAGGGAGCUAUAGGACAUUAGUGUUCGCCGACACAUUUUCUAGGAUUGCCUUUUCCACAUUUUAUUUUUCAAAUUUCCAUGUUCUUUAACAAUAUUUCGGAAAAUGAAUGAUACAUGGGGGGAAAUUAGGAAUUCAACAUGAAACGUUGCAAACUAUUAAUUUGGAGGAGAGAGAUAAAAAUGAUUAGAUGGAGUGUAAAGACUGGAUAAUCUUUAAAUAUGAUGCAGCAUGGAGAAAUCUAAUUUGAGAAAAUUAUUUCGAAAGAGAUUUAUUUUGAGAGCUACUUUCUCGGUCAAAUCUCUUUUGAAAAAAGUAAUGCGUCCCGCACACUUUUAAUAACAAUAUCCUAUAUAAUCCCACGAUUGAUAUGCUUUUGUUAUCGACUCAUGUUCAUUAGCAGCUUCGACCAAAAAAAUGAAGAAGAAGAAAAAAAAAUGUACAUUAGCAACAGGAGAAGGUGAUUGUCGGUAACCACUGGGAGUUCGCCCCAAUGACCACUCUUCCAACUUGGAAGGGGGAUGUUGGGAGUUCAAAUUCCUAACUUCGCGGGGGGAUUGGGGUGGGGAUGAUUUCAUUUCAAGAAUGGAUUUCGACUCCCACGUCCUGCAAUGAGGCAGGGCAAAAGUCUGAAAGUGAGUGUUAGAGUAAGAUUAUAGUAGGAUCGAAAAAAAGAAAAAAGAUGACUGUUGGUCGUUAGUUGUCUUUUUCUAUUCUGUCUAGUAAUACAAAAGGCUAGCCAAGUCAGACAAUGCUGGAGGAUCUCAAAUCUCAAUGAAAGCACAUGCAUGCACCAUCCUCGUAUAAUGCUGAGGAUCGGCGGAGAUCACAGCUGGCGCACGUGAGUAUUGCUCGUUGGUUCUCUUUUCUAUUUUCUUUCGUUAAUAUCGAAAGGCAAGUCAAGUCAAUCCGUACUGGAUCUCAAAUUUUGAUCAAAGCACCAGGCACGUGAUUGCAUGUGAGUAAUUGCUCGUUGGGUUCCGCACACAUUCCGCAAGAUGCUGCGGAAACUUCGCGUGCAAUGACUGUUCUUUCCGCGGCAUGUUUCGCUGCGGUUCGAUUAGCAUGAAGAGACUUCGACCGUUGGAUAGCUAGGCCCCAACAUUAUAUGCUUUGCACAAAUAGCCCCGGUCGAUCUUUUCAUGCGUCAACAAUUUUUAUCUAAUUAAUUUGACUAACCCAUAUAUAUAUAUAUAUAUAUCCGGAUGGAGAGGAAAUCCUAUUCAGGUAGAUAAAUUUCCACCGUAUAAUUCUAAUAAUGGAAAUUUGGUUCAUUCACUCUAAAUAUUUUGCCUUCCAUACCCAAAAUUUAGGACCUCACUAAUUUCAUCCUUUGCACUUCUAUAUCCUCAAGAAACUUUGAGCCUGCAUACAUCUUUUCUCUUGACAAUGUAAAUGGUUUAUAAAAUUUUUUUAGCCCUGAUUACAUCCUAGAUUGCAGUUUGUUUUAGGGAGGGUUUUAUCCGUUGAGCACACGCACUGAUUAGUAAAAGCAUCGCCAGGAGAAAAAAAUGAACUUUAUGGUUCUUCCCUAAACUUUAAUUUGCUUUCUCUUCGCUAGUUAAUCUUUCCUAUGUGCAUAUACUUGCUUCGUUCUUCCAUAACGAAACAUGUAAUUGGUAAAUUGUCGAACUUGUGAACUACAAUAUCCACUAUUUUAUCAAGUCUCAUUUUUUUUUUCCAUUUUUAAUUUGAGGUAGUACAUUAAACAUGCUAACAAAAUAGAAUCUAAAUAGGAAACAAAAAUAAAAAUAAAACAAUUGGCUAUGGUGCAAUAUUAUAUAGCAAUAUAAUUGGUCUAGGUCGUGAUAUUGUAGUGUAGUUGGUUUAUAAUAUCCAAUCACUAAUGACAAACGACUAUAACAAGUACAUAGAUCUUUUUCUUUUCCAUUUUUUUAAUUGAUAUGAGAAGGAAAAUAUAUUUAUAGGAUUAUAAAUAUUAAGAGAGAGAAUAGAUCUUGCAUUGCCAACAAAGCAACAUGGCAAAAAAGUUGUAUAAUACCUUAAGAUUGCUUCAUUUGCAGUACCUUUAUUAAAGAUAUAUAAAGUUGUAUAAUACCAAUGGCUAAGAUAUUAAGUGUAAUACUCAAAUAUAACCUUGUUUAAGAGAUAAUGACGACAAAGACAGCGAUAAAUAUGCCCUAUCCAAUAAGUAACUCACCGAUAAAAUACGAUAAAACCCAACUCGCCCUCGAGUGCUGUCGGAAUAUUAUUGCAAAUACAUCCAUGAAGCCAUCGAUAGAAGACACGUACUUGCAAAUACAUCCAUGGUCCAUAUUUGAAAUUCAGCACUCAAAAUUUUUAGUGAUUAUUUUUCAGUUUUAUCUUAACGGCACGUACUCGCAGCUUAUUUUUCACAAACGAAUUUAAGUUCAGCAUUGGCAAAAAAAAAAAAAAAAAAAAACAAGUUGAGUCGAGUUGAAAGUCGAGUUAUAGUACAUAAGCUUUGACUCAAAAUUACCAGUGCAAUCGUUUACUUUAAGUAGUUAGAGUACAAUGUUGAAUAUAUUUUGUCUUAACAGUUCAUUUGGUUUAACUUCUAGCUUUUUCUUGACGAUAAAGCAAGAAUUAGGUACAUAAAUUCACAAAUCAAUAAAUAAUCCACUAAUGCAAAGGAUCACACAAGACACAGGUCCCUAGUUAUGAAACCAUUUUAUGCUUACAAACGCGAGGAACCAAACACACGUCAUGUAUCUAGUUUCCAUACACUAAUUUUUGCUUUCCUUUCUCUUGCAACUCACACAGUUGAACUUUUGUUUAACAUAAAUAACUUAAAAGAUUCAAAAUGUGUAAAUACAGUCACGUAGAUAAUUAUACAAAUCUUUUUGUAAUUAACUUAAAUUAUAUAUUAAUUUUUUAAAUGUUAAACAUUUAUUAUGUUAUACCAAAAUUAUCUUGAAAGAGGUAAUACACCAGGCCAAAGUAAGGAGCCACCUCAGUUACCGUCGAGUCCACGUCCGUGUGGCCAUGCAGCGUUGUCGUCGAGGUCCGAGGGGCGAUGGAUAUUCCUGUCUCCUUUUUCAAAAGCCGAAGUAAUCACUCCGAAAGUCCAACCCCCAUGUCGCCUCGGUUGGGAAGUACACAGGAACUCGCUCGGUCCGCGCGCCACGUGAGGUCGAGGGGCAAGUCGGAGUGGCAGAAGAUAUCCUCGAGGUCCGAGGCGGGGACCCCGCUUAGGCUUCGGUUUCAGAGCAGCUGACCGUCGUAGCGGUCAAACAAGUACGUGCCGCACUUGAAAUCUCUAGCAACGUAAUUGAACCUUGCAAUAAAAUCAAAGGAAGAACCUCGGCGCAUCACCAGCAUAGGAGACCACCAUAUUGACUUCAUUUAAAAAGAAAGAACGACGAAUCAAGCAAAAGUUAGUAUGUACAUAUCCAUCUAUGCAUCUCUUACGGGGCGCUUUUUCAUCUUUUAAUAUAGACUCGAGUUCAAAGGUAAUUUUUUGCUACAAAUUCACAUGAAAAUAGCAUAAUUACAAUCAGUAGAAUAUCACUUGAAAUGUAAAAUAUGACCAUGCACCAUCUUAUCUAAGAGCCAAGUUUGAGAAAAGACUACCAAAAACCCUAAACUUUACCAAAAGUGACAAAUUUAUCUCAAACUUUUUUUGUGACGUGAAAAACCUAAAACUUUUCAAAUUGUAACACAUUUACCCAAUCAAGGGCAUUUUUGUCUUAUUUUUUCUCUUUUUUUUUUCUUCUUCUUCCCUCUACUGGCUAUGGUGGAGGGAAGCUGGCAUCCCGGCGAGGGCUGCCCUUAUCGACGUUGGGCUAGCUCAUGCGAGGGUCGUCUCGCCCUGGGGCUUGGCUANNNNNNNNNNNNNNNNNNNNNNNNNNNNNNNNNNNNNNNNNNNNNNNNNNNNNNNNNNNNNNNNNNNNNNNNNNNNNNNNNNNNNNNNNNNNNNNNNNNNNNNNNNNNNNNNNNNNNNNNNNNNNNNNNNNNNNNNNNNNNNNNNNNNNNNNNNNNNNNNNNNNNNNNNNNNNNNNNNNNNNNNNNNNNNNNNNNNNNNNNNNNNNNNNNNNNNNNNNNNNNNNNNNNNNNNNNNNNNNNNNNNNNNNNNNNNNNNNNNNNNNNNNNNNNNNNNNNNNNNNNNNNNNNNNNNNNNNNNNNNNNNNNNNNNNNNNNNNNNNNNNNNNNNNNNNNNNNNNNNNNNNNNNNNNNNNNNNNNNNNNNNNNNNNNNNNNNNNNNNNNNNNNNNNNNNNNNNNNNNNNNNNNNNNNNNNNNNNNNNNNNNNNNNNNNNNNNNNNNNNNNNNNNNNNNNNNNNNNNNNNNNNNNNNNNNNNNNNNNNNNNNNNNNNNNNNNNNNNNNNNNNNNNNNNNNNNNNNNNNNNNNNNNNNNNNNNNNNNNNNNNNNNNNNNNNNNNNNNNNNNNNNNNNNNNNNNNNNNNNNNNNNNNNNNNNNNNNNNNNNNNNNNNNNNNNNNNNNNNNNNNNNNNNNNNNNNNNNNNNNNNNNNNNNNNNNNNNNNNNNNNNNNNNNNNNNNNNNNNNNNNNNNNNNNNNNNNNNNNNNNNNNNNNNNNNNNNNNNNNNNNNNNNNNNNNNNNNNNNNNNNNNNNNNNNNNNNNNNNNNNNNNNNNNNNNNNNNNNNNNNNNNNNNNNNNNNNNNNNNNNNNNNNNNNNNNNNNNNNNNNNNNUGGCUUCCUUUCACGGAUUCCGCCAUGGCCGGCAGGGGGAAGAGAGAAGAAAAAAAAAAAGAAAAAGAAAAGUAAAAAGACCAAAAUGCCCUUUAGUUUAUGAUAAAUGUGUCACACGACAGAAGUUUAGGAUUUUUUAUAUCACAAAAGAAAGUUUGGGAUAAAUGUGUCACGGUUGGCAAAAUUCAUGAUUUUUAAAAUCACAAAAAAAAGUUUGGGGGUAAAUCUGUCACUUUGGACAAAGUUUAGGGUUUUUCGUGAUUUUUUCCAGCCAAGUUUAAGGUCUAAGAUCAGCAUUUUGAUAUCAUUACGAUCAUCUUAUAAGCAGUAAGCAUUCAAGUAGCAUUCAAGUAGCAUUCAAGUUUAAUACAUAAACUUGAUAUUUUAUGUUUGGACAUUGCUAUUACUUUUUUUUUUUUGGUAAGGUAACAUUGCUAUUACUUUUGUCACUAUUUGACUCACAAGAAAUUUAACAUAGGGAAAUUUAACAUAGGAGUGAUAGGACCAUUAGCCCUAAUAACCAUGAUGAGACACUGCAAAUAUUCUUGUGUCAGAGUAUGAGAAACAACAUAAAAAUAAGUCCAAGAAGCCACACUUUUGACCUAUUCCAAAUCACCAGAGAAAUAUCAUAAUUAAUUAAAAGAAAUCCAGAGCUUUGUAAGCACGGUGAAGUAAAGAUCCAGCAUAAGCCUGAAAGACAAAAUUAAGUUUUUUUUGGGUACUUUCAUCCCUAUACUUUCACUUUUUUCUCUCAUUAUGUCCCCAUACCUUAAACUUUUCUAAUCAAUUUAUUUUGCUUUCACAAAUUUCCUAAUCAAGACCCAACCAACCUUAGCUUAUGUAACCGUCAAAUAAUGCCCCAGUACGAUGCGGAUAACUUAUGUGGAUGCCCACGUAGUCAUGUAUGGAAAAAUUUAUCCAAUAUAGACAAUGUCAGAACGUGACAUGGAUAAAAUUUAGUUAAGGUGUAUGCCAAAGUAUAUGUCUAUAUUGGAAAAUUUUUGUUUACGUCACACAACAAUAUCAGUUGACAGUAAUGCCAGCUGGAUUUGGUCGAGUUUUGUGUUAGAGGGAUUUGAUUGGAAAAUUUAUGAAAUUUCAAAGAACUUGUUAGUAAAAUUACGGUAGAGAAAACGUGAAAGUAGAGGAUAAGAAGAAGACUGAUUUCGAAAAACCAACAGCUAAUCCACAGUCAGCAGAAGAAUGCCUUACCUGACAAGAUAAGUAGGUCUACUUUGUACCACGUGAGCAAUGAAUGGAAUGGUUACACUACAUCCUCACAAUUCCACUGGUAUCUGGGUCCAAUCUCAAGGACAUCAAAAGCCAUGAAAAGAUCACAACUGUGAACAUCUCUCUAUGAACUUGUCUCAUCAUAUGCGUCAAGAGGGAAUAAAAUCUUUAAGCCAAACUAGUAGUUGUGAGGAAAAUAUAAUCAGCAAUUAAUGUUGACACAUAAAUUUUGACUACCCAAUUAGUUAUUUAUCGCAUAGAAAAAUUAAAAAAUCGACCUCGUCCCCUAAAAAAAAUAUUAGUUAAAUUACAUAUAGAUAUUAGGAGCAUUUUUCAUUCAUUAAUAGUAAGUCCACAUAUAAUUACAUUUUGAUUGGACUGGUGCAAGGAGAUUUUGAGCGUAAUCGAGUUAAUUGGACUAAGCCCGUGGGAAUGAGAAAUUCAGCCUAAUCCAUUUAUUUCCUUUGCUCGACCAGACAUCAAAUAUGCAGCACAAGGACUUCAGCACGAAUGAAGCAGCAAAUAUUCGUUAUUGAGAAAUAUAUUCUGAACCUUUUUUUGGGAAAAUUAACUGACUAAUUCUUUUCAUUAUUAAAGAUGCACGUCAUGCUUAAAGUAGGCAAGUUAAUUUUUCUUAGUCAAAACUGGAAGUAAUUGAACACUAUUUGAAAGGAAAGAAACAAAAAUAGAAAAAGAAAAAGGAAGAAAACGGGGAAGAAAGAAAGAAAUUCACGGCCCGAGCAUGAUAGACCAGAGAAUAAUGUAUGCACUCACAAGAGGAAAGUGGAAUUCGGCCAGCCCAAAAGGAGUUCUCGCCAAGUAUAAAGAGAUAACACUGCAACACGUAAAAGAGGAGACAAAGGAGGGAGACAAAAUGUUCGAUAAAUUCACGUUCGCAAUUAACGAGAAGUGUGAGCAAUACAUAAAAGAGAACUCAAGUUUUUUCUGUGCCUCGAAAAGCUAGCCCCUACGCAGUAAGUGUGUCUAUGUUUUGACGUUACGAUUGGGAGAAAACAUGUGCGUUCAAUGACAUUGGAGAUUGAUUUACAUGUCUCAAAGUCAUUAGUUGGAAUUAAAAGUGGACUGUAAAUGCAUGUGAAGAUAUUCGAAAAGUACACUUGUAAUAGGUGGAGACGAUAUUUGGGGCACUCAUGAAAAAAAAUGGAUUGAACGGGCCAAAAUAUUUUAGAUAUUUAUAGCAUAAGUUUUGUCAUAUUGAUGCAUUUCGUUAAACAAUUUUUUUAAUCUUGAGGAGAAGCUUCUAUUGCAUUCAUUUAUAGUUUAAGAACUAUAGAUGGACGUAAAUGAUCAACGGCACAUUUUCUAGGGUCGCAUCUUCCACAUAUUUUCAAAUUUCCACACCUUUAAAAAUAUUUUGGAAAAUGAAUGAAAAAUAGGAGGGAAGUUAGGAAUUCAACAUGAAGCGUUAAAAACUAUUAACUUAAGGAGAGAGAUAAAAGUGACUUAAGCAGAGGGUAAAGACCGGAUAAAACAUGAUAUAGCGUAGAGAAAUCUGGUUUGAGAAAAUUAUGUCGGAAGAGAUUAAUUUUCAGAGUUACUUUCCCAGACGAAUCUCUUUUGAUAAAAGUAAUUCGUCCUGCAGGCAUUUGAAUAACGAAAUCCUAUAUACCACGCUUGAUAUGAUUUUGUCAUUGACUCAUGUACAUUGGCAGCGGGAGCAUGCGACUGUCGGUCGUUAGUUUUCUUUUUCUGUUCUGUUUACUAAUAGAAAAGGCAAGCCAAAUCAAGACAAUGCUGCAGGAUCUCAAAUCUGAAUGAACGCACCUGCAUGCACCUCCCUUGUAUGAAGCUGAGAAUCGGUGGAAAUCACAGCUGGAGCACGUGAGUAUUGCUCCUUAGCUUUCUUUUCCAUUUUCUUUCGUUAAUAUAAAAGUCUAUUUACUUUCAUUAAUAUGAACGGCAAGCCGUGCGGGAUCUCGACUUUUGACCAAAGCACCGGGAGCAAGUGAGUGUUGCACGUGAUUGCAUGUGCGCACGUGAGUAUUUAUUUUGGCUCUUUCGGUUCCGCGCUCCUUCCACUAAAUGCUGCGGAAACUAUGCAUGCAAAGAUUGUUCUUUCAGCGGCAUGCCUCGCAGUGGUUCGAUUAGCACGAAGAGUCUUGGACCGUUGGAUGGCAAGAACUCAGCAUUAUGUGAUUUGCACAAAUAGCCCCGGUCAAUCUUUCUAUGCUUCAACAAUUUUUUUCUAAAUAAUUUGACAACCCAUUCAUAUAUAUAUAUAUUUCCAGAUGCAGAGAAACCCUACCUACUUAGACAAAUUUCCAUUGUAUCAUUCUAAUAAUGGAAGUUUGGUUCAUUCACUCUGAAUAUUUUUCCUUCCAUGCAAGUAAAAGUCUAAGACCUUACUAAUUUCAUCAUUGCUACUUUGAACAAACGUUUCUCUUUUCUCUGGAUAAAUUUCUUUUGCCUCGAUUAUAUCCUGGAUUCCAACUAUUUUUUUUUUUUUUAAAGGAGGGAAUUAUCCAUGGAGGACGCACACUAAUUUGUAGAGGCACCAUUAGGAGAAAAGAAUAAACUUUAUGAUGUGAAAAAAAUUACAUUUUAUAUUCUUCCCUAAAUUUUAAUUUGUUUUCUCUUUGCUAUUUAAUCUUUAUUAUAUGUAUACUUGUUUAUUUCUUCCAUAACGAAACAUAUAGCUGCUAAUCUAUCAUCCUUGUGAGACACAAUGCCCACUAUUUUAUCACGUCUCAUUUUUUUUCAUCUGUAAUUUGAGGUAGUACAUUGUUAAGAGACGAAGGAAAACGAAAGGCCCAUGUGUACUCUACUAUCGGUAGAAUAUAUUUUCCACGCCCCGAUUUUACAAUCAAGACGUGCUGCACCCCAAUUUUCAAUCAAAGCACGUUGCAUAAGUAGGAUCCACACACCUUCCGCAUAAUGCUGCAGAAAUUAAUUAUUAUCGAACAACCUUUUCUUUCAUUUUAAGUCCUUAAAAUGGUCCAUAUUUGAAAUACAGUACUCGAAAUUUCGGUAAUUAUUUUUCAGUUUUUUCUAAACGGGCUCAUACUCGCAGCUGAUUUUUCACAAAUGAAUUUAAGUUCAGCAUCAGCAAAAAGACAAGUUGAGUCAAGUGGAAAGUUGAGUUAUAGCACCCAAGGUUUGACUUGAAAUUACCUAUGUAAUCAUUUACUUUAAGCCGUUAGAGUACAGUGUUGAAUAUAAUUUACAUCAUAGCAAUUUAUUUGGUUCGACUUCUAGCUUUUUGUUAACGACGAACACAAAUCAGAUACGUAAUUCACAGGUCAACAAAUUCUCCACUAAUGCAAAGUAUCAAGCUAGACACAAGUCUCAUAUACGAAACAGUUUAUGCUUGCAAAUAUGGCGGACCAAACACACGUUGUGUACCUAGUCUCCAUCUACUAAUUUUUACUUUCUAUUCCCUUGCGACUCUCAUAGUCAAACUUUUUUUUUUUUAUAACAAAGAUCACUUAAAAGAUUCAAAAUAUGCAAAUACUAUCACGUAGAUAAUUAUAUAAUUAUAUUUUUAAUUUAACUUAAAGAAUAUACAUAUUUUAAAUCUUUCAAAUGUAAAAAAUCAAUUAUACUUUUAAGUGCAGUCUAAAUUUUUAUCGAAGGGUUGCAUACCAAAAUUAUCUUUUAUUUUGAAAGAAGUAAAGCACCUCAUUAGUCAUUAGAGAAAAAGGCCAAAGCAUGGAGCCACCUCAGCUAGCGCUGUCGGGGACCCGUCUCCUUUUUCAAAAGCCAAAAGAAAUUGCCCCGAACGUCAAACCCGCCCACUCGCCUCGGUCAGGGAGAGCACGGAAACUCGCUCGGACCGCGCGCCACGUGAGCUCGAGGGGGGCAAUUCGGUACAUUCCGAGUGGCCGAAGAUAUCCUCGAGAUGCGAGGUGGGGACCACACAUUGGCUUUGGUUUCUGAGCAGCUGACCGGCGUAGCGGUCGAGCAACGCGAACACGGAGAGGAGGAGCGGCGUGGGUCCGCGUGAAGAGACAACCUAAGCAGAAUCUUUUUUUUUGGUCGAAGCCUAAGCAGAAUCCACACGGCAAAUUUCUACUCUGUUUUCGUGGAUAAAAGGGUCUCGAACAGUUGGACGGCAAUAACUCAGCAUCGUUCGAGCAAGCGCGGGAGAGAGUGUUAAGCGUAGUUAAUCCGAGGUUGAAGGCUGAGAACCGGCAGAGUUCACAGCAGUAGGUGAAUUGUGUUGUUUGAGCACUCUUCAGGUAAUCGAUUGCUCCAUUUUCUUUUGAUGAGUUUCGAUUUGAGUUCUUGGAGACAUUUUUGCAUUCCGAGAUUUGGACUGUGAAAUCUAGACUUUUUUUCUUCAAGGCUCUGCUCGAUCGAUGUCCUAUUUGGUCAAUUAGACUUCAUUUCUGUUUGAAUUUAGCUACGAAAUGAGCUCUGACAGACAUUUCGGCAAUUCCCGAAUCCGGGAUUCCGUAUUUCUCUUUGUUUUCUGCUUUUCUUCGAGGCUCUGCUCCAUCGAUCUCUUCCAUUCCCUUUAUAGGUGAUUACAAAGGCGGAGCCUAAAAGAUUCGAUAUGUGGGGACAUUCAGAAGAUCCGAAUUGUGGGGCUUCUUCCUCAUCGACUUCACCGCAUGUAGGUGAUUAUGAAGGCAGAACCAAAAAGAUGAAAAGAAAUGACUACGAAGUGUUCUUGAGCUUUAGAGGGAAGGAUACUCGUAAUGGCUUCACCGAUUAUCUAUAUACUAGUCUUGUUGAUGCAGGAAUUCAUGUGUUCAGAGAUGACAAUGAGCUUUGUGUUGGUGAGGAGAUUGGACCGGAACUUUUCCGCAGUAUUACACAAUCUAAGAUCUCCAUCCCGAUUAUCUCAGAGGACUAUGCAUCCAGCAAAUGGUGCCUUCGCGAGUUGGCUCUUAUGUUGAAUUGCAAGAGAAACAAAGGGCAAAUGGUGUUACCCAUAUUUUACAAAGUGGAACCUUGGCAAGUGAAGCAUCUCACAGGGAGAUUUGGAGAUGCUAUCAAUACACAUAAAAAGAAUUUGGAAGAAAAGAUUGUGAAGGAAUGGGAAGAAGCACUCAAAGAAGUCACUUCCUUGAAAGGAUUGGAAUCGGAGAAAAUUGAUAAUGGGUACAUUAUUCUCCACCACAACAUUGUUUACUUUCUCAUAACUAGAUCUUACUUGAAAAAUAAUACAAAUAUUUCCAUCAUAUAUUGAAAUUUUUAUUGUUGUUCGACAGGCGUGAAGGAACAUUGGUUAAAAUAGUUGUCAGAAAAGUUAUGAGUAACUUAAAGGAAUUGUUUUUGCUAAAUGUUCCCAAACAGUUGGUGGGAAUUGAUGAUCGUGUGGAGCGUAUUAUGCACUUCAUAAAUGCUAAAUUUAGUGAUACAAGUAUUAUCGGAAUCUAUGGAAUGGGCGGCAUCGGUAAGACAACCCUUGCGAAGGUGUUGUACAACAAGCUUUUGAGUCAUUAUGAGUCUCAUAGCUUUGUGGCAGAUAUUCGAGAAAAAUUUAAGCUCAAGGGUCUUGAAUGCAUACAAAAGCAGCUCAUUUAUGACAUUAGUGGAGGCUUAUGUGAUGUGUCUAAUGUCGAUCACGGAAUCAAUAUCCUUAAAUCUCGAUGUAUAAAUAAGAAAGUUCUCAUUCUUCUUGAUGACAUGGAUGAUAAUACUCCCUUGAAUGCUUUGGUUGAAGACGGUAGUUGGUUUAAAGCUGGAAGUACGGUCAUCAUCACCACUAGAGACAAGAGUAUUCUUGACAAGGUUGGGGUAAGAUACAAGUAUCAACUCAAUGAGUUGCUUUCAUAUCAAUCAUUGGUUUUAUUUAGCAGACAUGCAUUUCGAACGGAUUCUCCUCCGAGUGAUUAUUGGGUUAUCUCUCGUGAUAUCGUAUCUACUACUGGGGGGCUUCCUUUAGCUCUUGAAGUUAUUGGUUCAUUCUUAUGUGGAAAGACAAAAGAAGCAUGGAAAGCUACAUCAAAAAAAUUAGAGAAAGUGCCUAAUAAGAAAGUGCAAGAGAAGUUGAGAAUAAGUUACGACGCAUUAGAUUUUGAGGACCAGCAGAUUUUUUUGGAUAUUGCAUGUUUUUUUGUCGGAUCAUCUAUACAAAAUCCGACUUACAUGUGGGAUGCCUGUGGUUUUUUCCCGGGAAAGGGGAUUGAAGUAUUGAAUCUUAUGUCCCUAAUUAAAAUUACUGAUGAUGGCGAGCUAAUGAUGCAUGAUCAGCUGAGAGAUCUUGGAAGGGAAAUUGUUCGUCAAGAAAAUCUAAAGAAGCCUCAAAAGCGUAGCAGAUUGUGGGAAUAUGAGGAUGGCGUAGAUGUGCUUCUCAGCAACAAGGUAAGAGUUUUUCUCCGCUUGUCUUAAUCAUCGAAUGUGAGCACAUCUUCUCUUUCUUGUUUAAGAUAAUAAUUAUAGUCAAUCACGAGUCCCCAAAACUGGCUGCGUCUACUGGCAAGAGGGCACUUUUAAUUAAUUGCUCUUCUUGUCGGACUUUAGGACAAAAUUGAAGAGCAAUUUCUUGGUUAUUAAUAACUAAUAUUUUUAACUAGUAAGAUUGUGAUGAGGAUACUCUCCUUUUGCUAGCUUCAAUAAAAAAACAAAGCUACAAAUUAAUGUUCGAUAGAGCACUUUUAAAGAAAAUCGAAUAUCUAUAAAUUGUUGGGGCCAUGCUUUCCCACAUUUUUGUUUGGUGCACAGGUUGAUGUUUGAAUUCUUAUAUUGAUUUCUUUUGAGGUAUUUUCUUUCUUUUUUCUUUUAACGAGUACCGACUUCUUAAGAGUUUGCUACGAUGAAUGAGACCAUUCAUUAGUGAUGAUUAGCUAUCCCGAUUCUUGAAUUUUUCAAGUUGGGUAAAGUAUAGAUUUAGUCCCUCAAGUAAUACUAUUUGUAAGAUUUAAUCCCCUUUCUAUUUUUUGCUCAAUACCAUUCUCCAUCUUUCACAGUUUGUGCGAUCAAGUCCUUUGUAGUCAACCGUUAAUGAACAUGGUCAAUUUGUUGAUGUGACUUUCAUAUACUAUAAAUAAUAUGGUUAUAAUUAAUAUAAAUCCUAGUUAUAAUUAGAAAUCUAACAUUAAUAGAGUGACUUGGAAAAAAAGACAUGAAUUUUGGGAAUAACUAUUACUACAAGUAAAUAUUGUAAUAGACUAUAAUAGCCAUUACGGUAAUGAAACGUGCUCUAAUAAUCUAAAUGCAUGUAAUAAUACAUUGCUACAUAAUGUGUAUGUAACUAAGGGUUAGUAAAUGUGUACAACUAAACGGUAUAUAUUAUGCGGUAAGAUAUUUAGUUCAAAGUAAGACGUUAGGAAAAAAAAAGUAGAAAUUUUCCAAUAAACGGUAUAUAUUAUGUAUUCCCAAAAAAAUAUAUAUUAAUAAAGAUAUGUUCUCAAUACCAUAAUUAUAAAAAUUUUAAUGUUGAAGUAUUAUCUAAACUAAAUUUUUUGACAUGAUACUUGUUAAACUUGGAAGUUAAAUAUUUCAACCAUACAUACAUGACCUUUUUCUUUAUAUAGAGGAUGAGUGAUGAAGUGACUUUUCAGUUACAACAUUUUUAAAUAUUUAUAGAAGAAUGAUAAUUAAUAAUAAAACUAAACAAUUUCACAACUGUAUGUUGGCACAGAAGUGAUAUUAACAUAAUAUAAUUAUUCUUCAUGUCCAAUCUAUCUCUUAGCAAGAUCUUAUUAAUUUAUGGGCAAAAUUGAUCAUAAAAUUAGAUGACUGUUAUUUCUUUGUAACAAAAUCAACAUGAAAUGAAAAGUUAGCAUCAAACAUAUAUAGUAAUAAAAAGAGAAGUGAAAAUCAUGCAUAUAACUUGUUGAGGAAACACAUGAUAAGAAAGGAAUGCAAAACAUCUGUGUACUUCUUGGGAUGGAAUUCUCAUUUUCAUUUUGCUAUCGAGAAUUGUAAACAAGGUACGAAAGAAAAAGAGGGGAAUUCUACAAUUGAGAUUCUUUAGUAUUGAUACAUGCUUUGACGGUAAAUUUGAUAUAUGCAUUUGAAGUUUUGAACUGUAAGAGACAUGUUGUUUCACAUAUAAAGGAUAUGAGUUAGUUUGUUAUUUCCCAUAUAAAGGGCAUGGAAUUUUGAAGUGAUGUUUGCAUGAAAAGAGGCCUUCUAUAUUAAUUUUGAAAGGAUGGGACUUUGGGGAAUUUAAAAGCUGCAAAUUGUGAAGGGAAUAAUUGGAAGAGGAAAAGUUUGGGAAGACCCUCUUGAGGUUCACAUUUUUACAUUGAUUACCACAACCUGUCAUGUCAUGAAGUCGAAAGUGAGAAGCUUAAAUCAUGAUAGUACGACAACAAAUUUGAAAUCAAUACAUUUUUUCUCAUAUAUAGUUGCUUUCAACCCAUUAUUCAAAACAACAAUUUACAAUGUUGCCUAAUUGCAGGGCACUAGUAAAAUUGAGGCCCUUCGUCUUGACUUAGAUAAUGGGAAAGGAAGUUACAUGGCUGAAACAUUUAAAGAAUUGACCAAAUUGAGGAUACUUCAACUGGAAGGUGUGAAUCUCACUGGACAUUUUCAGAACUUGUUUCCUCAACUAAGAUUGCUUGAGUGGAUGGAUCAUCAACCGGAUUUUGAAUUGACCAACUUUCACCUGAAGAAAUUAGUCGUGCUCGAUUUGUCGUGGAGCAAGAUUUCAGAGAACUGGGGAGGAUGGAGUCAACUAAAGGUAAAAUGUAAAGAAGGCAUAUGUCUUAUAAAUAAUCACGUGUUGUCGAUGGACCCAAUUGCACCAAGUUAUACUUAAUUUCUUCUGAAAAUAUAUAUUAUGGAUUUUCUUCUAAGCAUAAGAGGAAUUCAUAGGCACCUAAAUAUGUCAAAAGCUUCUACCCCUUAAUAUUUUAGCAAACUAGUCAUGCUUAACAUCAGACCUACUAAUAAAAACUUUUUAAAUCGUAUUAAUUAACAUCUAUCAAAAAUAUAAUUACAAUAAUGUGCCCAUGUUAAUUUUAAUCUAAAUGGUUUAUGGCUUCUAGUUAAUUUCUCCCCAUGCAAAAGUAUGUAUUUUUAGCAAUUCUUGUUAUAUGUAUGUAUGUAUCUUCUUUCAUAAAAAUGCAAAGACCCUCACAGUGACUUGUGUUUUACAUACAUACUAAAAUUCUAAAUUCAUUGUUACUUUUAAAGUAAUGGAAAUAAUUUGUGAACUACUUUGACUUGUUGCGCACAAUAAUUAUUCAUUAUUAUUGUUGAUUGUUGAAGUCACCGUAUAACACAUUUAUAAAGUACUAAUGUCAUAUGAGUAAUACAACACUUUUUUAUGUCUCGUACAUAUAGCAUUUAAAAAUUGUUUUUCAUAAUUAAAGUAGCCAUUUCUCUUUAAUUUCAUACUAAUUGAAGGAAAACAUGGCACCAAAUGAAUGCAUCUCAUUUCUUCCAUUUGACUUUGUCAUAUGUAAUUUGAUAAUAAAAUUUGUGUAUCUCUAUUCAAUAAAUAACAACAUAGUCAUAACUUUGAAAAACUAAACAUGACAUUUUCUAAGAAAUUUUAUUUGCGAAAAAUUGUAGAUAGCACUCAUACAUCCCUAACAUUCUCUUUGCAAUGAUAUGCUUAAAAACAUUUAUAUGCUAGCUUGGCGAAUACACUAUUGAAAAGAAACAUUUAAAAUUAAAUUAAAUAGCUGUGUAAAAAUAGGGAGAAUGGGAUUAUUUUUUUUGUCCAAUCUCAAAGUGGUAACCUCUUUCUUUCAGAUAGCAACCGAGCUCAAGGUUCUCAACCUUACGAAUUGUGCUUUAAGAACAACUCCCGACUUGUCCGCUUUCAAGAGUUUGGAGAUUUUGAUACUUGAAGCUUGUGAGGAUCUAGAAGAGAUUCAUCCUUCUAUCGAGGACAUCGAGACCCUUGUCUCCUUGAAUGUCAGUAAUUGUUGGGAGCUGAAGAAGCUACCACUAGGAGUAGGUAGAAUGGAAAAUUUGAGCAAGCUUCUCAUAGAUAACACUAAUAUACGAGAGAUUCCUAUUUCAAGAGGUUGUUUGACAAAGCUGGAGACUCUACAUGCCUCAGAUUGUAGACGGCUUGCUCAACUUCCAGAAUCCUGGGGCUCCCUUAUGUCAUUAACUCAACUAGACCUAAAAAGAACAGAAAUUGAGGAAUUACCCGAAUCCAUUGGAUCAUUAAAGAAGCUCAAGACUCUAAAUACCUCUUAUUGUGCAUUGUUAACUUGCCUACCCAACUCAAUAGGCGAUUUAGCAUCUCUAUGUUGCCUUGACCUAAGAAAUUGCCAAAAGCUUGCUCAACUUCCAAACUCCAUAGGCUCCCUCGUGUCUCUAUUGCAAUUGUUGUUGUCGAGAUGCUACUCGUUGAGACAAAUCCCAGGCUCGAUUGGAAAGUUGACAUCAUUGACUGAGCUGCAUUUGCAAUCUACGGCCAUUGAAGAAUUACCUAAAUCUAUUGGUUCAUUGAAGGAGCUCAAGACUCUAGAUGCCUCUUAUUGCACAUCGUUAGCCCGCAUACCCAACUCAAUAGGCAAGUCACUAUCUUUGUCUCGCCUUGACCUAACAGGAUGCCAUAAACUUGCUCAACUUCCAGACUUUAUAGGCUCCCUUGUAUCUCUACAACAGUUGUUAUUGUCGGGAUGCCACUUGUUGAGACAAAUCCCAAACUCGAUUGGAAAGUUGACAUCAUUGACAGAGCCGCAUUUGAAAUCUACGGCCAUUGAAGAAUUACCUGAAUCCAUUGGUUCUUUGAAGGAGCUCAAGACUCUAGAUGCCUCUUAUUGUGCAUCGUUAGCCCGCAUACCCAACUCAAUAGGCAAUUCAAUAUCUCUGUCUCACAUUGACCUAACAGGAUGUCAUAAACUUGCUCAACUUCCAGACUCUAUAGGCUCCCUCAUGUCUCUACAGUGGUUGUCAUUGUCAGGAUGCCACUCAUUGAGACAAAUCCCAUACUCGAUUGAAAAGUUGACAUCACUGACUGAGCUACAUUUGAAAUUUAAAGUUAUUGAAAGAUUACCUAAAUCCAUUAGUCUUUUUAAGGAGCUCAAGACUCUAGAUGGCUCUUAUCAUGCAUCGUUAGCCUAUAGACCCACUUCAAUAGGCAAUUCAACGUCUCCGUCUUGUCUUGUCCUAACAGAAUGUCAUAAGAUUGCUCAACUUCCAGACUUUAUAGGCUCCCUUGUAUCUCUACAACGGUUGUUAUUGUCAGGAUGCCACUCGUUGAGACAAAUCCCAGACUCGAUCGGAAAGUUGACAUCAUUAACUAAGCUGCAUUUGAAAUCUACGGCCAUUGAAGAAUUACCUGAAUCCAUUGGUUCUUUGAAGGAGCUCAAGACUCUAGAUGUCUCUUAUUGCAAAUUGUUAGCCUGCAUACCCAACUCAAUAGGCAAUUCAACAUCUCUGUCUCGCCUUGACCUAACGGAAUGCCAUAAACUUGCUCAACUUCCAGACUCUAUAGGCUCCCUCGUGUCUCUACAACAUUUGUUAUUGUCGGGAUGCCACUCGUUGAGACAAAUCCCAGACUCGAUCGGAAAGUUGACAUCAUUGACUGAGCUACAUUUGAAAUCUACGGCAAUUGAAGAAUUACCUGAAUCCAUUUGUUCUUUGAAGGAGCUCAGGACUCUAAAUGCUCAUUGCAAAUCGUUAGCCUGCAUACCCAAUUCAAUAGGCAAUUCAACAUCUCUGUCUCGCCUUGACCUAACAGGAUGCCAUAAACUUGCUCAACUUCCAGACUCUAUAGGCUCCCUCGUGUCUCUAAAAAUUUUGUUAUUGUUGGGAUGCCACUCAUUGAGACAAAUCCCAGACUCGAUCGGAAAGUUGACAUCAUUGAUUGUGCUAUAUUUGAAAUCUACGGCCAUUGAAGAAUUACCCGAAUCCAUUGGUUCUUUGAAGGAGCUCCAGAUUCUAGGUGCCUCUCAUUGCAAAUCAUUAGCCCGCAUACCCGAUUCAAUAGGCAAUUCAACAUCUCUUCUCGCCUUGACCUAACAGGAUGCCAUAAACUUGCUCAACUUCCAGACUCUAUAAGCUCCCUCAUGUCUCUAAAACAUUUGUUAUUGUUGGGAUGCCACUCGUUGAGACAAAUCCCAAACUCGAUCGGAAAGUUGACAUCAUUGAUUGAGCUGCAUUUGAAAUCUACGGCCAUUGAAGAAUUACCUGAAUCCAUUGGUUCUUUGAAGGAGCUCAGGACUCUAGAUGCCUCUCAUUGCAAAUCAUUAGCCCGCAUACCCAAUUCAAUAGGCAAUUUAACAUCUCUGUCUCGCCUUGACCUAACAGGAUGCCAUAAACUUGCUCAACUUUCAGACUCUAUAGGCUCCCUCGUGUCUCUACAACAUUUGUUAUUGUCAGGAUGCCACUCGUUGAGACAAAUCCCAGACUCGAUCAGAAAGUUAACAUCAUUGACUGAGCUGCAUUUGAAAUCUACGGCCAUUGAAGAAUUAUCUGAAAGCAUUGGGAAUAUGCAAAACUUAAGGAUAUUGGACAUUAGUGGAACUCCCAUAAUAGAAUUGUUUGAUGACCCAGGAAUAUUGGUAGAACUCCAAGAGUUCAGAGCUUCGGGAUGGAAAAAUCUGGAAGGGUCACUUAGUAAUAACGGCCAAUUGGUUUCACCAAACAAUCUUGGUUUAGACAAGCUUCAAAAACUAUCAGAAUUGCGCUCUCGCAUACUAGCACUCGGUAUUACCUACCAAAUCUCGCAAUCACUAAAUCUAUCCUAGCUAAACUUUCUUAAGAAACUCACUAUUUCUAAUUGAAUUGAAUGUCUUCAAACCUUUCUAUAAAACGUUGUAGAAAAGCUGUGAAUCUUGAUUUUUUAUUUUCAAAAGUUCAACCUAUUAGUUGGGCAUUCUAUUUACUUUUUUUCUUGUGAUACAGUUCUCUUAAAGCGUCCCAAGACUCCAACAAUCAACAACUCAACCAUGGAUUUUCAAAUAGCAGAUUCUAAACACGUUUCGAAGAGAUCAAGACCUUUUGAAAUCUUGGAUGAAGUACUUAUUUCAUCUUGCUUUUUCUUUAUCGUUCUUUAUUAAUUAUAGGAUGGUUUUAUCUAUAAAGAGAAGUAUCUUAUUGGGGGAUCGAUUAUCUGUUAUGUAUGGAAUGCUUUUCUCAACAUUCGUAACUAAAUCUGUCAGGCUUCUUAUGUUCAUGAAAGUAGGAAUUUUCAAUUUUCCUAAAUUAUAAACUUAAGUUCGAAUAUAUUGCCCAUUCUUAUGCGAUUCUCUUUCCUAAUUAUCUUUCUUUGCAUGCCAUUGAAUGAAACCUUUUGAAAGCACUCUCACUUUGGUGCUAUUGCGGCAUAUGAUCAUGCAUUGGGAAUCUUUAGGAGUGUAGGGGUUAUUUCACAUCGGUUGUGGAAGGAGAAGGUAGUGAGUUUAUAAGUGUAAAGGAAAGCCUCACCCUUUAAGCUAGCUUUUGGGGUGAGAUAAGCCCAAGACCACCCAAAAAUGAUAAACUUUUAGUUUUAAGGUUUCUCGAUACCCUUAACUUUCAUGAUGUGAACUUAAAGAAAUAAUUGAGGAUUGGAAGGAUUACAAGAAAGUCUGAUGGAGAGAAAAAUGAGCAAAAGGGCUAAGGUUGUCAAUUUAUAUGUUUGAUUGUCUUAAUUGUGUUUGUUAAUGUGUCAAUUCAUCAUGACUUCUAUUGGACAUGUCAAACCAUUGAAUUAGACGAGAGCAUGUAAAUAUAUCUCAACCAACUAGUUAGAUGUAUGGUGAUGUGUCAUAUUUUGGUUGUGUCUGUGUUUUUCGUGUUUGGUACUGUCAUGUAAACAGUUAGUGUUAAUAUUGGUAGCAUUAAUGAGGAGUGUGGAUUGGGAAGGUGUUGAUUGCAUCUUCUCCCAUCACACAGGCAUUGUGCUCGCGUAUGCUAGUAAAAUAGGGGCUCUCAUACAAGUUUUGCAUCUUUUGAGUGCCAUGGCUUUUAUCAAUUUUCUAAAGGACUAACUAGUUUUGUAAUCUUUAUGACGUCCUAUUAGGUGAAUAAUUUGCCGGCAAACAUUCUGCCUAUCUCAUACAACUGCCCAAGCCUCAGUCAGAGUUCUUAUUCUUCAAAUGACUUGCCCGGAAACGUAGUCAUUACCCUAAGUCAAGGUUCGCUUGUUAAGAGUAUGGAUUUCCAUCCAGUGCAACAAAUUCUACUGCUCGGUUAGCACUUCUUUCAUACUCUAUGAAUAACAUGUUCCGUGCUUUUCUUCAGUUGGAUAUACUUAUUCUCAUUGGAGGCCAUAAGUUUGUUCUUUGGUGCUUGGAAGAUUGCUUUUUGAUGUUCUUUUGACACUAGCUUCAGCUAUAUUAAACCACGGGCUAUGAUUCUUCAAAUUUUUUACUUCAAUAAUUUUCAGUGGGAACAAAUACGGGCAAUGUUAUGGUAUGGGAAGUAGGCAGCGGUGCGAGGAUUGCUUUGAAGAAAUUCAAGGUUUGGGAUUUGAGAACAUGUUCAAUGGCGUUGCAAGUAUGGAAGUUCAAUUCUAAAUAAAAUCAUGGCAUCUUGUUUUUGGACAUGUGAUUAUGGAUUUUAAUUCUUUGUAGGCUUCUCUGGCCAAUGACUAUACAACAUCCAUUAACCGUGUAAUGUGGAGUCCUGAUGGAAUCCUUUUUGGUAUGUACAUAUGUCACUUCUACUUGUAUAUCAACUUAAGAAAUUGGGCAAUACAUACUUGCAAAUUGAUGAAAAAACUAAAGCGCCAAGAACCAAACUUCAUUGCAAUAUUUUUCCAGAAGAAGUGUCCAUAUGCUGCUUUUACUGAUGAUUUGUGGUUUUCACUUUAGGUGUUGCUUAUUCCAAGCACAUGGUGCACAUAUACUCAUAUCAUGGUGGUGAUGACAUAAGGAACCACCUAGAGGUUUGUUGCUAAACAAGGAGAAAAAAAUUAAGCUUCUCUGUUCUGCUGACAAUUGCCACCUAAAUGUGAGUUCAACUUGAUUUUGACUCUAAGCUAAUGUCUGAUACAGCUCGAGGCUCAUGUUGGAAGUGUUAAUGAUCUUGCCUUUUCAUAUCCAAACGGACAAUUAUGUGUUGUGACCUGUGGAGAGGACAGGUUGAUCAAGGUAUAUUUUGAUUGUUUUCCUCAGCAUUACAUUGUUAUGUUGUUUGAUCCCUUUUAACCAAGCUAGUAGUUACAUAGGUAUGGGAUGCAGUGACUGGGGCUAAACAACAGACUUUUGAGGGUCACGAAGCACCUAUAUAUUCCAUUUGUCCAUACAACAGAGAAAAUAUUCAGGUACCUGGUUAUUUCAUGUACUAACAAGGACACGCUGCAAGCAUGGCCAAUCGACUGUAUGCUUGACCAUUCAAUGGACUUUCUUUGCUAAAACUUGGUUAGGUCAAAAAAUUUGUUUCAAUUUGUAUGAGAAGUGUGAAUAUGCAUUCUAAUGGACCUUGUUCAUUUCAAGGAUUUUGCAAGUCUUCCGACUUUUGACUUGUCUUGAUUAUAAUGUGCUUGUUACACAUGCUGACAUGGUCCAAAGAUUAAAUUGCAAAUUUGAUUAUUUCAGGCGAUGCUAUUGAGCAUGGACAACUGGGUAAAGGUUUUCGUAAUAAUGACUUCCUUCUUAAUAUAAGUUCAAAUGGAAAAUUGCUUUGCUUCCAUUAUUUGUUCUCCCUUAGUUUCUCCUCCAGUUUUGAUUGGUUAAAUUAAUAAUAGAUUGAUGUUUAUUGUGCCUGGGUGGAGCAGCAAUUGGCGAUGAUUGUGUACACUUUAUUAUGAGGAUAUUUUAUGAUAUCUAUUUGGGUUUUAGGUGGAUGUGCUCUUGGACAUGUUAUUGAAUUGAUCGUAGGAUUGUUUUAUUGUGUAGUUCAUCUUCUCAACAGCAACGGAUGGGAAAAUUAAGGCUUGGUUUUAUGACAACGUGGGCUCAAGAGUUGAUUGGGAUGCACCAGGUCACUCUUUUACCAAGAUGGCAUGCAGUGCUGAUGGAAUAAGGUUCAAACCACCAGCAUUGCAUUUCAAGCUUGAUUUUAUCCCGUGUCAUUCUUUCUGAUUGAAAUAACCUAUUUUAGCAAUUUUAUUUGGCUAUAGGUUGUUCUCAUGUGGAACCAAUAAAGAAGGAGAAGCAUACUUGUUUGAAUGGAAUGAAAGUGAAGGGGCUGUCAAGCGUACCUACCAUGGACUUGGAAAGAGAUCCGGUGGGUUUGUGCAGUUUGAUACCACCAAAAACAGAUUUCUGGCUGCUGGAGAUGAGUCCAUGGUCAAAUUUUGGGAUAUGGACAAUAACAAUAUUUUGACAAGUACUGAUGCUGACGGUGGAUUGCCGGUAAUUCAUUAUUGUUUAUUUAAUCUGACUGAAUUAGCUGAACCUUUCCAUUAAACUCGUUCUUUAAAUUUGCAGGCUUCACCUUGUAUUAGAUUUAACAAGGAAGGAGUUCUAUUAGCAGUCUCAACAAGUGACAAUAGCAUCAAAAUUUUAGCGAAUGCUGAUGGGAUUAAGUUGCUAAGGACAAUGGACAAUUGGCCUUUUGAUGCUUCUAGAAUCACUCUUGGACCUCUUAUGAAGGUAAGUUUUUUCAAGAGCACACUGACUUCAUAGAGAGGAGCUAGCUAAAUGUCUUCAAUUUUGUAUUGCCACCAACAAUUGUGAUAUUUAGUUCUGCGAUAUUUAGUUUUGGUAAUGCUACUGUUGGAGCAAACCCUGGUAAUAGAGGGGUUCAAGUGGUAGAAUUAAAAUGUUUGAUCCAAUUUCUAGAUGUGCAUUUGGUAGAGGAGUCUAGAAAAAUCCAAAAAAAAAAAAAAAUCUAGCAGGAUUAUCUAAAGUUUCGUGUAGAAAAAUCUGUAAAAAUUAUCUUUGUAGCAAGGCAGAUACUUGUCUAAAAAAUAUCUGACUCAAGCAAAGAUUUUUGCAUGUCUUAGCCGCUGAUGCAAGCCUAUAAAAAGGCUUAGGGUCGUCCAAAAGCGAACACUUUCGGGUCUCUAUUUUUUUAUUCUUAAAAACAGAUUUAAGAUGAAAAUUCGUUUAAUGAUAUAAUUUUAUUUUUAAUUUUCCGAACAAAUUUUCACUUAAUAAAUAGAUUUAGAAUAUAAAUUAUAUAUAUAUAUAUAUAUAUAUAUUUACAUUUCUAGAACAAAAACAAAAAUAAAAUCUUUUCUCUUUAUUUGCUCUCGCUACACACGACCGUCACCUGCUAACCACCUACCUCCCGUUGCUCUCCACAAAUUGAUAGUCGCCGCCUAUAAAUUAUCUUUGCUUGGUUUCUCAUUCAUGGAUUAAAAAAAAAAAAAUCUAUUUAUGAUUAGAAAUUAGUUACAGAAACAAAAUAGUCAUCGUUCGCGCCCAUAAUACACCAACUAAAAUAAACCUCUCUACCUUCGUUUGUAUGAUGCAUUGGAUAAUAAAAGCCUUCUUCUUUUUCUUUUUCUUUUUAAAUAUCCUUGUGCUCCUUGCUGCCACUUUCAGAAAUCCUUGUCCUCUUCUAUUACAUCAGCAGCAGCUGACUUGCGGAGCAUUUUUUUCCUCACAUCCAUCCAGUCAUAUUUUAACACAUCUCUGUGGAUUUUGAAUUAAAAAUAAAACUCCUUUGAUGAUCCACCGGCCAUUGACCUCGGACUAGCCGGCUGCCACCCUUGAACACCGCCGCUCCGUAGGCCGAGCUUCAAAUCUAGCUGAGUCGUCACCUCGGCGCCGCACCAGUCUAGUCCACCUUCACUUGCUUCAAGCUGAUCCAUGGCCGCCUCCGAAUCUGGUCGACCUCGACUCUACGCCAGAUAUCGUCUGCCUUAAAAACGGUUCGAGCUCGGCGACUCCUCCAUGACUGCCGAGAAGCCGCCGAGAUUUCGGUCACAACGUCGAGCUUGGCAGCCAUAGAAGGCCGCCACUCCAAAUGUAGAGGCUCAAUGGCAAUGGAGGCCGAGCGUCCAGAUCUGGCCGUGGCGAAGGUCGUGACAUGACCUCGAGCUGCAGCGAUAACCCCGUUAGAGGUCGCCUUAAGAGACGGCGUUAAAAGUUGCAGACGGCCAUGGACAGAGCAUGUAACAAGAAAGGAGACCGAAAAAAAAAAGAAAAGAAGCAAAGAAUGGUGGGGAACAAUAAGAAAAAGAAACAUCUUUUCCAACUUUUCAACAGCAUCACCGGGAUGAGCCAUGCCGACGACCAUGGACGGCCAGAUCUCGAGAGCCAACAGUGUCGCCGGCCAUGGCGGAGCAAGGUUCGUGAGUGACGCCGACGGCCAUGGACGGCCAAAUUUGGAGAGCCAGUGGCGUCACUCGUCUAGGUGACGCCGACGGCCAUGGUGGGCCAGAUCUGAAGAGUCAGCAGUGUCACCGACGCAUCAUCGGCCAUGCCAGCUUGUCCGAGGUCAGGUGGCUGGCUUUGGACGAACGAGGAAGAUGAAGCUAGAGGAAACAAUUCCACCACACAAAGAGACUCCACAUCAAUAUUUUUUAAUUUAAUUCAAGACACGUAAAUUUUUUUAAGUGGAUAUCAAGGAAAAAAUGCUCGCCCUAUCAGCUGAUGCGGCGCUUUGAAACCACCUAAUAUCUUCCCCUUUCCGCACACAUCUACACAAACUAGCAGCAAUGGUAGGGAUGGCAAGUGGUAUCAUUACUGCAUUAGGUCGUUAAAUUUUUUUAAGGAGCUUUAUUUGUUGCUUAUUUUAUUACUUAAAUAUGCGAUAAUUGCAUUUGUAUGUGCAUGUUUAUUGGACGUCUUUCAAUGACAUCCUCUCUUUUGAGCUCUACAGGACAGCGAGAGCAUGGCAGAUGAGAAGCCCAGAAUUGCCGAUGACUCGACAGACAAAUCACGAAAUUGGAAACUGACAGAAAUCAACGAACCAUCGCAAUGCCGGUCCAUAAGGCUGCCUGAUAACUCUACGGCUACGAGGGUACAAAUGACUGCCAAAAUAGGAUUUUCUUAUGUAGCAUUUCUUUUCCGCAUUUCAUGUUUGUACUAGAUAAGCACAAAUUUCAAUAGGGGUUGCAUUUAAUGCACUUGCUUUAUUAGUUAUAUUCACAUGUGGUCCAAUUAAUCAUCUCUUAAACCUCAGCACUUGGAGGACUCUGUCAUCUCUUCAUUUGGCCUUUUAUUGUUAAUUGAUUGUUUCAACUACACAAAUGGGAAAGGAUCAGAUCAACAUUAAUAAAUCUGUGAUUAUGGUGUGGCAAUUGUGCUUAAGUCAAGAUUUUACUUUUGUUUUGGUAACUGCUUCAACUAAGUUUUGAUGUCAUGUGCAUCAUAUGCUCUGUCCAUAUAUACAUACAUGUAUGAGUUAAAAGGUCAUUGAGUGUCUCUUUACAUGAAUUUCUGCAUAUAUCAUUCAGUGUGCAGUUCUUUGGCCUCUUUAUUUAUUUAUUUUAUUUUUGCAUUUUUUUUUAACUUUGGGUAUGACAUUAUACUGUCACCACUGAAACUGAUAAAACGAAGCAGGUCUCGAGAUUAAUCUAUACAAACUCAGGUGGUGCUAUUCUGGCAUUAUCAUCUAAUGCUGUACACAAGCUCUGGAAAUGGGUAAUAAGUGGUUGGAACUCAACAGCCAGGGUAAGGAGUCUUUUUUUUUUCCCUUUGAAAGUGGCAGGUUGUUUUAUUGUUUAGCGCAUUAUUGACUACAUUGAUUCUUCUUUUCGAAGGCCACAACUAGGGUAGUACCACAGUUAUGGCAACCUCCUAGUAGGAAUUUGAUGACCAAUGACACGAGAGGUAUAAAUCCUGAAGAUACAGUUUCGUGCUUUGCACUGUCAAAGAAUGAUGAUUAUCUAUUUUCAGCAUCAGGGGGGGACAUCUCUUUGUUCAAUCUGAUGACUUUUAAGGUGAAUAUUUGGAGCACUAUCCACAAGGCACGAGAUGAUGAACUACUCCUUUGUGCUGGAUAUGCAUUAGCUAUUUCCUUUUCACAUUUUUGUGGGUCCUAAUAGUAACUGAUUCUAUUAUGUACAAAAGUACUGAUCUCUAUAGUUAGGAGGUCCAUGAAAGCAACUGCUCCGACUUUCAUGUGGAUUAUUGGUUCAGAAGUGCAGCAUAUGUCCUUUUUUACUUGCCGAGUGAGACAAGGGCUUUACUCUAUCUUCAAUGGAAUCUUUUUGCUCUCACUAAUUAAAGAAAAAAGACGAGCUUUUUUCAUCCAUCCAAAGAUCUAAUGAUCGAACUUGCUAUCUCCCUUUCUUGGGAAGGGGAGAUGCCAUUGAGACAAGUGCCUCUUGGCACAUAUGUCCCACUGUUACUUAUAAAAUUACUCAAUACUCUUACCUGCUGAUAUCCAGGUGAUGACAACGAUUAUGCCCCCACCAACAAACAGUGACAUUAUUGCAAUAGGAAUGGACGAUUCCUCUAUUCAAAUUUACAGUGGUCAAGUAGAUGAGGUGAGACCUGAUUUCAUCAUCAUUGAAAGUUAACCUUAUUAGUAUUUGCAACAGAGUUAUGGAUAUUGACCGUUUCACUUUCUCAGGUCAAGAAAAAACUAAAAGGACAUCGGAGAAUAAUCAAUGGCUUUUCCUUCCCAACUUCCUUAACUGUUCUCGUGUCUUCUGGCACCGACUCUCAGGUUUCGGACUACUACUUUUUUACUAGCUAAGUGAGAAAAGGGCUUUUCUCUAUCUCCAAUGGAAUCAUUUUGCUUGUAAUGAUAAAAUUAAAGAAAGCACGAGCUUUUCUCAUCCAUCCAGAGAUCUGAUGGUUGAACUUGCUCUCUCUCUCCCUUUCCAAAGAAGGGAGAUGCCAUUGAGGCAAGUGCCUCUUGGCACAUAGGUCCCAUUGUUACUUAUAAAGUUGUUAAUACAAUGCUGCCUGCCGAUAUCCAGACAAUCACAACACUUGGGCCUCCACCCGCAGCAACAUUUAUGGCGUUCCAUCCUCAAGAUAAUAACAUCAUUGCAAUAGGAAUGGAGGACUCCUCUAUUCAAAUCUACAAUGUGGUAUUUGAUGAGGUGAGACCUGUUUUCAUUGUUGUUGAAAGUUACCUUGUUAUCUGCAAGAAAGUUAUGGAUAUUGACUGUUUCACUUUCUCAGCUCAUGGCAACACUAAGAGGGCAUCAGAAAAGAAUUACGAGCCUUGCCUUCUCUAAUGUCUUGAAUGUUCUCACGUCUUCUGGUGCUGACUCUCUGGUACCACACUACUAUUGCAUCUUACUUUCCAAGUAAACAUGCCUAAGUUUUAGGUGGAGAGCAAUGUAGUUUAUAGUGCCCCCGGAAAAGGGUUGAUGUUCACUCUCUGGAUUUAUUGAUGCUUAUGUCCUCAGCAUAGGUCAUGAAAUGAAGGCAUCCUUUACUGGCAGAAUAAAUCCUUCCAAAAAACUUCAUCUUUUGUGUUGACAAAUUAAUCCCUCCCAUUAAGUACGAAAAAAGAAGUUAUGAUGAUGUCCUGUUGUUGCUUACAACAGACCAUCGAUGUGAUUCUGAUAUGAAAACACAAUGGACAAUUUUAUUCAUUCAUUUCUGCAUCAAUGCCAAUAUCCCUUUUGAUGAUUGACUAUUAUCACUGCAGUUGUGUGUUUGGAGCACUGAUGGAUGGGAGAAGCAGGCUAGUAAGUUUCUGCAGAUGCCAAAUGGACGAGGAGUGGCUCCUUUUGCUGAUACUCGUGUUCAAUUUCACCUGGAUCAAGUACAUUUGCUGGUGGUUCAUCAAACACAGAUCGCCACAUGUGAAGUUCCUAAACUAGAACUCCUCAAGCAGGUAUUGAAGAUUUUUUUUUGUUGUGCACGAACCAAUCUGUCAUCUCAUCAUGAUUGCAUAAAAAUUAGAGAAUCGUUAGGUAGUAUGAGUUGCUUUGUGCCGAAUGUACUUUUUUUUUAUUUGUUGCUCAUCUCAACUAGUGGGAUACUCGAGAAGCUAGCGCUCCAAUUACAGAUGCUACAUAUUCAUGCAAUGGUGAAUCAAUAUACGUGAGCUUUGAAGAUGGAAGCAUCGGUGUUUUUACUGCUUCUACACUCAGAUUGAGAUGUCGUAUAAAUCCUGCCACUUAUAUCCCUCCAAACCCCAGGUAAGUUGGUUAUUUGCAACUCAGUUAACCUCAUUCCUUUAUGAAAUUGGCAAGUCUCAUUCGCAAAGUUUCAAUAGUCUCGCAAGUAAUUCAUUCCUCAUAAUGCAUUUGGCAGCUUUAGAGUCUACCCACUAGUCAUUGCAGCACAUCCAUCUGAACCUAACCAGUUUGCACUAGGGCUUACUGACGGUAGCGUCUAUGUACUUGAGCCAUUGGAAUAUGAAGGAGAGUGGGGUACUUUUGGGCCUAGCACGACCUUUGGUGCAACCGGUUCAGAUCAACACCAAAGGUAAUACAGGCCAUGUCUCUCCCUGUGAAACUUUUGAGCAUUAAAAUGCUGAGCCGGCUUUCCUCCACCGCACUUGAUUCAAGUUUUGAGGGAGAUGCUGCAGAGGGUAGAUUAUACAGCCUCAGGGUACUUCUACGGGACAUGGUUCAAUACAAUGUCCUAAUCGACUUCUGCUCAAGUCUUGUGGUGAUAAUUUGUUUUGUUGUAUUCAUAUAGGCUGAAUGAAAGUGGAAAAAGAAAAACAUAAGAUUAGAGUGUUGCUUUGAAGGUGUUAUAUAUUCAAAGUAGAGGUAGAGAGCAUACCUCAUUUUCUACGCAAUCAGUAAGGAUUUGAUUAUACUAGUUAACCAAUUAAUACAAUUUCGAUAUCUAAACUUAAUUAAUUUGUUAACUAAGUGUCCACAUAGUUUUUGACUAUUUAAUUAACUUGUGCCAUUAAAUAAUGUCCAUGCAUGAGUACACGAUCAAUGAAAAGUAAACAAUCACAAUCACUAGAUAGAAGUAAAGUAUAAGAAAGUAGAUCCAUUGGAGUGUCAACCGUAGAAUACACAUGGCUUUGUAUUAAGCCUCGGGCAACAACCCACGCUAAAUUCAACUUGUGUCCGAUUCAUUUUCUCAUAAACUACUCUACCUAAAUCUAACUAAAUUAAAGUUCUUAUUAAAAUCCCCUUCAACCUAUAUGUAUACUAACUAAAAGAAACUAAGCUAAAUCUAGCAUUAAACCUUAACGACCUAAUCAAGGUCUCUGUUUCUAACCAUUUUCCAAUUUUUCAUUUUUUCGAUUUUUUUUUAAUAAAACUUAAUUCUUAUCAUUUUCUGAAAAUAGGGACUCGAGCCGGGUCAGGAUAUUCGGCCCCCUCCAAUUCUAAUUCUACUGAGCCCAACCCAUUGCCAUGAUAACUGCUCCAGCCCAUCUUUUCUUCUAACUUCAGCAAGUGCAUCUUUAAGCCCGAUUUCUAUUAUAGAUAGAUUAAAGCCCACUCUAACCCCAUAUUAUUAUUAUUUUUAAAUCAACUUUCCUCUUUUCUUACAUCUAUAUAACAAGAAUACAAGAAAAAUUUAUGUUAUAACAACGAAUUUUAGUAAGAAUUGAAUCUGAAUGUUAAUGGACUUAGUUGUAACAAGCAAUGUAUGCUACAAUUUCUUCAAAUUGACCUAGAUCAGGAAUUAUUUCACUAAUGUAUCUUAGAGACAUUUCAUGAAAUAGUCUACGUGCACCAAAGGAAUUGAAUCUGGUCAUAAAUCGAAGUUUUGUUUUCAUCUUAAAUAAAUGCCAGAACCACGAAGCCAUUACAAAUCAUCAAAUUAUAGCCUAGAUCAUCGGUGAUUUUCACACGAGUAACCUGAACGUGGUCCAGUCAUGCAUCUUUCCAAAACUGGGCAGGAAAGAGGGGAAAGAAAUCCAGGAGUUCUCGGUUGAGAACUAAGGACUAAUGAACAAACUACGGGCUAGACAUGGUCUGGCUUCUGGGCAUUUAUGCGUCCGACUAAUACAAGUUGGGCUUAAUAGAGGUGGAUGGGCCAUGGCCCAUGGGCUUGGCUUAGACGAAUUGGAUCGAGCCCAUCGCAUGAAUGAUAUCCUUUCCAAUUAGUUGAUGAAUUGAAUAAGUCCCUUCAGUCAUUAUUUUUUGCAUUCUUCAUUUCGGUUUUAUUUAUUCAUAUCUUAACCGCCUAGAUUGCCGAUUUUCCUUAAAUUGUUGAUUAAAAAUCAAGUAUCCACAGCAGGUCCAAAACCUCAAAAUUGGCUGAAGCAAUUUCCUAAAAGUUGUUGUAAUCUUGAAGGUGCUACAAUUGAGAAAUGUUGACAAACCCUCUACAAAAGCUGCAAUGCCCAUUCUUCUUAGUCCAAGUAACUCCUAACAUUAAUUAUUUAUACUCUUUUCAAAAUAAUUCAUAUAUUUUUAGAGAGUCUUAAUAUGAAUGAGUUAUUUAGCAAUUUCUAUAAGAGUAGAAUUGUUAAUUCAAAACAUUCAAGCAAAGAAUUAUAAAAGGAGAUUGCCAAUAGCAUUGGGAGGCAAUUUGGUAAAAGAAGCAUUUAUAAGAGUUAUAACAAGUCGGAAUUCAACAAAAUGUCAAUCGAAGUGCUUAAUCAUGAAAAAGAAGAAGCAAUACCAAUAUCAAAAACCAAAGAGCUGUUAGCAGAAUCAAAAUUUCCUUUUCAUCUCCUGUUGGUGUAUAAACUUGUUAUUUAGUUCCGAAAAGAAUUAAAUAUAAAUGUAUGUAUAUUUUGUCACAUAGUUUAAGUAUUACUUUCAAGAAUGCUUUGAUUUGAUAGGUGGAACCAUAACAACUAAACUGGGAAAGGUCUUUCUUUAAUUUUCAUCGUUUGGCCGUGUGAUAUUUACAAUGUUAAUAAGUUCCUGAUAUUGAGAAGUGCUGUUGACAGUAGUUUUCCCUCAUCCUUACAAUGAAUGUCGAUACAGUGAAUAAUUAACCACAUUCAAGCCAUUCUCGUCUACUUGUCAAGCAUCUGCAAACAAAGUGAAACCUGCUUAUUUCCGUCUUCGACUGGGCUUCUUACUCUUUCUGGCUGAGGUUGACUGCUCCAAAGGCACUGGUAAUAGGGUUCCUCCCUUGACGCCAUCUUCAUCAUUCAUCUUAUCGAGAGUUUUCUGGGCUCCGAUAUACACCUUAAGGUCUCUAAUCUGUGAAGGAUGACAAGGGACAUACUACUGUCAACCCACUAUGCACGUGCAGAGUUUUCACUCUAUCAUAUCAAAACCCUACAAAUUAUUACCAUUUUAAGGCUAAAAGAAUAUACCUGUUCUUCUAAGUCAAGUAUUUGUUCAUCCUUCGACUUCAGUGACAGAGUUUUCCUGCAGAUGCACAGAAGCUUAUGUGUCCUUCAUUCAUGUCAAAUUAGAAGGGAAGAAUAAAUUCCCGACAGCUUUAACUGACUGGACUCAUCUACUGAAAAAGUUUCCGUACAAUCGAUAAUAAUGCUUAUUGAGGAAACUAGCCCACAUAACUUCAAUGAGGAUGGACAAGACCAGUAUACUUCAUAAGGCUGUAUGAAUCUCUCUACAAAGAAAAUGUUGUAGGCAUAUUACGGCACUUAAAAAGCAUCUACACCUACAUUGCUUGACAUGCGAAGCUCAAAUAAGCUUUAAGCCUGCCCAGUGUAUCUUCUUUUCCUUUUAUUUCUAUUUUGUGGAAGUUGGAAAUGUCAACAUAAUGCAGUAUAACAACCAUUUGAAUUUCAAUUGGAAUUAGUAAAAUUUCAAUGUUGAACUGUAUCAAUUAAAAUUUGAGUCCCGAACCAUCACAGAAUAAUGUUCAAAUUUCUUUAGUGUGUGAAAAUGUACUUUGAAAUUGAACCACCACCAUGAAGAUUUUAACAUUGAUUUCUGUCAAUAAAGUUCAACCUCUAAAGCAGUAGCGCUAGAACUUCAGAGGAAAACAAAAUUAGAGAUGGAGCAUACAUAAACAAAGGAACAAAAUUAUGGAGAGCACUGACUAAUGGAACUUUCUCCAUACGUGGUGCAUACUCUCCUUUCCCCUUUUCCCCUUUUUUGUCUCUUUCUCUUAUUAGAGUUUGUUCGAUCUCGCCACUUUUUUAGAAGAACUUCAAUAAAAAAUACCAAAAGCUACUUCAUCUUCUAGCCACAUCCUCCAAUUAAUGAUUAACUUAAAACUUAAUUAUCCUUCCCAAGUAUGGUGAAAGGAAAAUAUAUUAACUAUUUGAUAAAUUCUUACUCAGCAUAAAAUGACUUUUGUUCUUUUGCCAUUAAUUAUGUGUUACAAGUCACUUAUAGUCACUAUCACAUAGUUGAAUUAAAAGCUGUAUUUCCUCUUCCUUCUUCCAACUUUCACCUUUUUUACCUCACCUCUAAAAGUCCAUUCAAUGCGAACACUUCCUCUUAAUGAUACCAUUCUCACUUUUUUCUCAUCUUGUUGAAUGUCCGUUUCCACUUUCUCUCUCAUGACCAACCUCCCUUACAUGAACCAUGACUACAAUGCUGUUUCAUUUUACUAAUUAGGUUUUAUGAGACUAUGGAUGCUAUGGGAUUAUUUAUCUAGAGAAAUCAGCAAGGAAAAAUACCUCUCUUCAAUUUCCUUAACCUUUCUCCGCAUCAUAUCUUGGUUCUUGAUGAGAGUUUGAUUAAGCUGCAACCACAAGAAGCGACAUCUGUUACUGUUAUGUCCAAGAUUGUAAUAUUUAAAAUGAGGCAUGUGAAAAAUGAGCAAAACAACAAUCAGCCAUGGCUUCAGGUAGCCCUCCUCUCAAGCUUUAAACAUCCAAAAUCGCACAAGGCAAAACAGAGAAGACUAAACCCUUACCUCUGNNNNNNNNNNNNNNNNNNNNNNNNNNNNNNNNNNNNNNNNNNNNNNNNNNNNNNNNNNNNNNNNNNNNNNNNNNNNNNNNNNNNNNNNNNNNNNNNNNNNNNNNNNNNNNNNNNNNNNNNNNNNNNNNNNNNNNNNNNNNNNNNNNNNNNNNNNNNNNNNNNNNNNNNNNNNNNNNNNNNNNNNNNNNNNNNNNNNNNNUCUUUAAAGUCAGUCUAAGGAUGAUGGCCAUCUAUGUAACAAAAAAUGACAAACAUGGGUUAGAAAUGAAACACUAUCACCAACUGUAGCAUGGGCAGUUGAUAUAAAAACUAAUGGCUUUUGUAAUUCUACUUCGGAUACAGUAACAAGUUUUCAAUUCUGAUACUGUUCCUCCUAAGGCUCUCCAUCACAACAAGUCAAUAAAAAAAGAGUCCUGGAACCUUAGGGAAACUCAAUUCAUUUUCUUCUACAGAUAUAUUAAUGAGAAAAAAGAAAAGAAAAGAAGAAUAGUAGAAGUUUUGCAAUUCUCUGAAGCUGAUGCAAGCCCACUAAUUCUUUUAUACUUCCUAUAUAAGCUCAUCAGACACAUGCAGUAUGCAAAUUGACAGGUAUAAAAUGUUGUAUACCAUAUAAAAGCAAAUGAAGCUGAGAUUAUACAACACGAGCAUAAUUACUUUCCUUCUCUUCACAACAAUUCUGACAAUCCCAUAAAGUUCCAAGAGUUAAAUGAAUUCACUUAAAAAAAAACAAAAAAGAAAAACAAAAUGGAGAAACAUUUUUUAAUCUGAAAUAACUAAACAAAUGAUCUAUUAUGGUUUUCUCCUAAAAUGUGUACUUAAAAACCAUUACCUAAAGCAAAAACAUAAUUGAGGGAAGCCUUCACAAGUAAUGCUUAUAACCAUGGCUGAUCAGUCAAAAAAAUAAAAUGUAAAAGACUAUGUUAAGCAGGGAGAAUUGAAAUGGUCUACGUAUAUGCAUGCUUACUUUUCUUUGCGCUUCCAGCUGAGUUGAAGCUAGAUGAAUAUAGUCGGCGUGAAUCUACAAAAAAGUAAAGCUACAGUGUCAGAGUAAACAGAGAAAAUCUGAUAGUUACAAUGGAGGUAAUAUACAUUUUGCAGGCCCAAUAAUGAACAUGUGACAUUUGGCCAACAAAAUGAAUAUGUGAAGCACAAAACCAGAAACAGAAUCUUUCAUUAUCAUCUGUCAGUGCCUAUAACAGUAAAAGCAUCAUGCACUCAAAACUUCAAACAUCUCACUUAACUGAGUCCAAACUCCAAAUCUUUGCAGGGAAAAGAGAACCAGAAAACAAAGAUACUCACAGCACACAAAUAAGAGGACACAUGAACUUACUGCUUCAAUUUUGCUGCUGAAGAGCGCCCCACUAAUUUCAGAAUCCUCGCUACAGCCACAGCUACCACAAUCUCCUUCAAGUGAUUCACAGUAUGAAUUCAUCUCCAAAAGCUUGCCGUCAGCUUUUGAUUGAUUAAGCCGGUGAACGUAAGUGUCCCCAACAUAAUCCCAAAUUUGCUGUGUUCUUAAAUCUAGAGAAUAGCAAUGUUGCGUAUUUUUCCAAUGGCUGAUUGCGUGCUUAUCUUUGUAUCUACAAAGCCAGAAAAGAAAAGCUAUAAUGAAGACAGCCUAUCCAAUCACUAAACAUAUAGAGUGAGCGAAAAUUCCAGCACAUCAUGACUGGAUCUAUCACCUUCCACAUCCAACAAAACCACAUAUCAGACAAACCCAAAGAUUUUCCAUUGUUCCACAAAUAAAGCAGGAUGGCACCUCAUCUUGCUGUUGGCAUAGUCGGCAAACCUGAUAAAGGACAGAAACAGAUCUUCUUCACAAUCAGUUAACAGAGGGGCAUCCCUGAUGAUGUUGCAAAAUGAAACUACAUUUCCGAUAAAGGUAAUUUCUUGCAAUCAAAACAAGAUAUAUGCCCUAAUUGACAUCUUUAGCAAUGUAAUUGGACCUUGCAAUAAAAUCAAAGUAAGACCCUUGGGACAUCACCAGCAUGGGGGAACAUCAUGUUGACUUAUUUUAACCAUAAAGAUUGACGAAUCAAGCAAAAGUCGGUAUGCACAUGUCCAUUGAUAUAUCUCCUAUAUGGCACUUUUUCACCUUUUGAUAUUACAUGAGUUCAAAGGUACUUUUUUGCUACAAAUUCACAUGGACAGAGCAUACUAGAACAUCACUUGAAAUGUAAAAUAUGACAAUGUAACAUCUUAGUUUCAAGACAGGAUAUGUUUGAGGUCAAAGAUCAGAAUUUUGACAUCAGUAUGAUCACCCUGUACUUGUGAGUACACACAUAACUUAUUGUGUAUGCUUGGCCACUGCUAUUACUUCUGUCACUCUUUGACUCACAAGAAAUUUGAUACAGGAGUGACAGACCAUCAGAUCAAAUACACGUGAUGAGACAUUGAAAAGAUUCUUGUGUCAGAAUAUGAUAAUCAACAAAAAAUAACUCCAAGAAGCCACAGCAUUCACCUAUUCCAAAUCUCCAAAUAAAUGUCAUGAUAAUUUAAAAGAAAUCCUGAACUUAGGAAGCACAAUAAAGUAAAGGAAAAUUCUACUGUUCAUUCAUAUACUCUUCAUGCUAUUUCUAAUGAUGUCUCCAUACUUUUAAUUUGCCUAAUCAAGUCCUUCUAUUUUAACAAACUUUCCAAUCAAGUCUUUCCGACACUAAAUAUGACCAAAUUUAACUGAAGUGGCUGUUCGACGAUGACGACAUAUGAUGCCGAUAAAAUAUGCAGAUGCCCACAUGGACAUGUCUGGAAAAAUUUAGCCAAUGUAGACGACCUCAAAGUGCAACAUGGAUAAAACAAUGGACAUCCACGUCCCACAACAGAGACAUCUGAUGGUCACACCAGCUGAAUUUGGCCUGAUUUGGUUUGAUUAGAAAAUUUGUAAAAGUAGAAAGACUUUAUUUAACAAAUUAAAAGUACAAGGGACUUGAUUAGAAAAAACGUGAAAGUUCAGGAUAAAAACAAUACUGCCGCAAUUGCUAUAGCUAAUAUUAAUUAUCAAAAAGCAACAACUAAUCCACAGUCAGCAGAUCAACAGAAAGAUAGUGGCAGUAGCUGCGAAAUUACAGUCUAAAUUCAUCUAAUCUGUAUCAGCAGAAGAAUGCCUAACCUGACAAGACUAGUAAGUCCAUUUUGUACCACACGAGCAAUGAAAGGAAUGGUCACAAUUUGUACUCAAAAUUCCGCUGGUAUCUGGGUCCAAUCUCUCUGACAUUAGAAAAAAAAAAAGAAUUAGCAACUGUGAACAACUUUCUAGAAAUUCAUCUCACUGCAAGGGAAAUAUAAUCAGCAAGGGGGCACUAGCAUGGCUUACCACCCACAAACUGGACAAGAGGAUAGCUCUGUAAAGCCCGACGGGGGCGUGCUAGCUACAUCAGCUGAUUCCGUAUAGUCCACUUCGUGCAGAAAUAGAAUAUGGCAUACCUCAGCCUGAAUGUCCAGAAGACGAGUAUUAAAAGUGAAACAGAAAUUGACUAUGACAGGUGCAAAAAUUGCAAAUACCUCAGCAGGCGAGAAAUUCUUGCCAUUGAAGGUGCAAUAGAAACCAUCAGCAGCCUUUUGAUCGGUAAGCUCGAUCAGCACACUGUACCUAUCUUCCAUCCCAUCAUUCCUACAUCAAACGCACAAUUCGCAAUACAACGAUCACUAAAACCAUUAAAAAGCAUUUAAAAAAGAACCCAGAUCGGAAAACCCAGUUCCACCGUCGGAAUGCUUCCAAAAAAUUGAACUUUCAUCAUCGGACACCCCCUAAGGCAUGAUCAUGAGCAAAUUUUUGAGUUUCGAGUCCAUCUUUUAGAUUUUUCGUCAGCGAAUUCUAAUUCCUCGAAGUCUCUCUUUCGCUUGCCCAAUUCAUCUCACCAACUGAAAAAACCGGUCCGAAGUCCCGAAGAAGAGGAGGGCAGAAAACAGAAAUGAUCGAAGCAUUACCUGAUGAACGGGAGCUCGGAGAAGUCGUCGAUCCGGGGGCCGCAGAACCGGAUGAAGUCGUCGGGGGAGAAGUAAUUGGGGACGGCGACGACGAAGAGGGUGGUGGAGCGGGCGCCGGGGCUCGAGAGGGGCGCGCGCAACAGCGUCCGGAACAGGUGCACCAUGCCCCUCCGCUCGGUGAACCUGGGAUCCCCGGCGGCGGCGGCGGCGGCAGCGGCGAGGAGGAGGAGAAGCCGCCGUAGUCGGUGGCGAGGGGGUGGUCGGUGUCCACCGAGUGGCGCCCGGAAGAAGAACAUUUUUAUUCAUUUCGGGUGUUCGAAAUAUUAAAAUAAAAUAAAAACUAAAUUUGAAAUUGAUAAUACGUAAAUUGUCAUCCGAUUUCAUUGAUAUCAAAUUACUUUUUGAUUGAGCAAGUCGAGAAUCAUGUGAAUUAUGGUAAGAAGUAUGUUAUGUGAUUGCUUAUGAACCACAUAAUUUUGUAAUCAUCUCAUUCUCAUUUAUUAUUAAAAUGAUCAUGCAUCCGGAUUAAUAUUUGUAAUGAAUUUUAUAAACAUUGAAAAAGUAAAAAAUGAAAAAGGCCUAAAUUGGCCUAGUCGUGUAUUCUAUUUCUUUUGCUUCAUCUGACAAACAAAACAUGACUAAACAAGCUAGAUUACUCCUAGAUAUUCUAAAAUUGAAAUGCAAGAGCAGCCGAGUGUCUAUUCGACAUAAAAAUUGCUAUUAUAGGUUAUUAUUAUGCAAAACUAGUUUGGACCAACAUCAGGACUAAUGUAUUGCUCAAGUUCACUCAUAAAAUGAAUCAUAUAUAGAAAUGUUGGGACACGGCUCAGGUGAAGGUCGGGCAAGCUAGGAUUUUUUACUGUAAGGAUAUAUUAUAGUCCCGGGGUCAUGUCUCUCAUUGUGAUGUUGCAGAGGGUAGAUUUUAUAGUCGCGGGGUCUUUCUCCUGACAUACUUUAGCACGAUUUGUCUUAAAGUGGUACAAUUAACAUCCUCAUCGACUUGUAGAUUUUAUAGCCUCGGGGUCUUCCUCUGGACAUAGUUUGGCACAGUCUGUUUUAAGUGGUACAAUUAGCAUCCUAAUCGACUUCUGCUCAAGUCUAGUGGUGAUAAUUUGUUUUAUUAUAUUCAUUUAGGCCGACUGAGAGUGAAAAAGAAGACUAACCAAAAAAAAAAAGUGAAAAGGAAGAACAUGAAUUGGAUACAGAUUUAUCUGAUUUUAGUUAGCAAGCUAAAGGAUCAUAGGAACAGGGUUUAGUUUUCGCAGGUGGCUUCUUCUCUUGUUCCUUUUGCGUCGUGCUGAAAGUACUUUUCUUAUGUAUUUUAUUUAUUCUUUUUAAUUUGCUGAAGUAGCAUUUGUAAGCACUUAGCAGGUUCUCUUUUCUUAUUCUUUCGCCACCAAAAAACAAAAUCAUCUUCUUCCUCUGUUCCUAUUAUGAACGUGAUUUGAGUGCAACAGCACUCAGACCUUGGAUGAAUGUAAAUACUUCGCCAUGGUCUAUCUCGACAUUUUGCUUACUGGACCGCAAUCUUUGGGAAUCAAGUUCCAUCUUUUUGAGGAUGAUAAUCUUUAACUGCAGUCGGUUAAACACUGUAUCCUUGGGGACACAAGUCGGUUAUUUCUCCGGCUUUUACAGUUAACAGAGUUGAUUUUUUCAUUUGCAAAUGGACACAGAGCAGGUAGGAGCAUGACGACGAGCCUCUUUUGAUCUCAUCUAUAUUCCUAUCACCCUUCCCUUACUACGCUAACACCCACCAAAGACUACUUUCUCUCAGCACAUGAGCCUCUAUUGUCAUCGCAAAGUGCUUGCACUUCAAACAAAUGCAGAAGUAAGAUGUGCAAUCUAAGAGUGUCUGAUUUGAUUCGCAUACAGCAGGUUCAACCCUCGGCAAGUUUGGAUGUUGCAUCUUAAAAGGCACAUUCUUCUAAACGGCUGAAUUUGCAGAAUCAAUAGCAAAGUGAACCUAGUGGGCACGUUUUCUCCAGACAUUUCCACAAAAUUUGGAAUUUGUUCCCCUUACAAAUAGGAACGAUACUGGGUUUUCCUCUUUACCAAAAAAAAAGAAAAAAAACGAUACUGGGUUUUCCCCCUUAUGAGAAGAUGUUCUUGACCUGGGAGUUUGGAAGGGAGUAAGUGCCACUUAAAAGCUGUUGUAGUUUUGGAGAUGGUAUCAAACGACCUCUCAAAAAAGUAAUCUCUGUACGCCAAACAUUAAUUAUUUUGUCCUUUUACAAAAUCAUUCAUAUAUUUUUAGACAGUCGUUGAAUAAGUUGGGAGGCAAGUUGGCAGAGCGAGCUUUUUUGUGAGGUGUAAUAAGUCAGAGUUUGACAUUAUAUGGAUCAAAGUCUUUAAUCACGAAUAAAGAAAUGGCAAUACCACAAUCACAAAACUGAGGGCAGUUGGUAUAAUGGAAAUUUCAUUUAAAACUACUGUUGGUAUAUAAACUUUUUUUUUUUGGUUCCAAAGACAAAAAUUAUAAAUAUAUUACCAUAGUAGAACAACAUAUAGAAAAACUGAAGUUGAGAGCUAGACUUUUUAAAUUUUGGGGAAAAAAAGUUUCUACAAUAAGUUUUUAGGUACUACUUUCAAGAAUGCUUUGAUUUGAUUUGCGGAACUGUAACAAUUAAACUGAGAAUGGUCUUUCUUUAAUUUUCAGCGUCUGGCCGAGUAUAUGCAUUUACAAUGUCAAUAAGUGCCGGACACCGAAACUCAAUUGAAGAGGAGGACUGGGGAAAGUCAAGGAGUUGCACCAUCCACAACCCCUCCAAGUAUAGAGGUUCUGCAGAACGCUGGGCAGUGAAAUACCACCCUCGGGCCCCCCUUGCGUCCGCAGAUGCUGCUAACAGUACUUUUCCUUCCUACUUACGACGAAUGUCAAUAAAAUGAAAAAACAAUUAACUACAUUCAUGCCAUUCUUGUUUACUUAUCAAGCAUAUGCACACGAAGUGACACCUGCUUAUUUCCGUCUUCGGCUGGGCUUCGUGCUCUUUCUGGUUGGAAAUGAUUACUCCAAACGCACGGGUAAUAGGGUCCUCCUUUGACGCCAUCUUUAUCAGUCAUCUUACUGAAUGUUUUCUGGUAUCCAAUAAACACCUUAAAUUCUUUGAUCCGUUAAAGAUGACAAGGAACAUAUUGCUGUCAACACACGUUACAUACACAUUGCGGUUGCAAUAUUAUGAAAACCAUAUGAAGGAAUAAAGUUUUGAGGUUCAGAAAAUGUACCUAUUAAUCCACAUUCAUUAUCUUUUCAUUCUUCGACUUUAAUGACAGAAUUAUCCUGCACGUGCGAAGAAACCGUAUGUGUGCUUCAUUCAUGUCAAAUCAGAUGGGAGGACUAAGUUCUCCAGACAGCUUUAAAUUGACUAAACUCGUCUAGAAGUUGCAUCAUGUACAAUCGAUAACUAUGCUUAUCUAGGAAGAUUAGCCCACAUAACUCGAAUGAAGAUGAACAAGAUGAGUAUACUUUAAAAUGCUACAUAAUUAUUCUCUAUGUUGUAUGCAUAUUUUUUUUUUGGUCAGUCAUGUUGUAUGCAUAUUAAGGAACUCAAAAGGCUUCUAAACCCACAUUGCUCAAUCUAUGAAGCUCGAAUAAGGGUUAUGUCGACCAAGAGCAUAUUCUUUUCCUUUUAUUUUCUAUGUUCUCGAAGUUGGAAAUUUCAACACUACGCAUCAUGAACAACCAAUGAAUUGUUAUUGGAAUUAGUAAAUUUUUAAUGUUGCAAUUAAAUUUUAGUCCCAAACCAUCACAGAAUUAUUUGCAAAUUUUUCUAGUGUGCAAAAUUGUACUUUGAACUCGAACAAUGACCGUGGAGUUUUAAACAUUAACUUUAUGCCGAUAAAGUUAAACCUCUAAGGCAAUAGCACUAAAACAUCAAAAGGGAAACAAAAUCACAGAUGAAACAUACAUUAACAAAGGAACCAAAUAAGAGAGAGGUCGUCCCGUCUCGCCACUUCUUUGAAACUUCUUCAAAAAAAUUCCCAAUAACUACCUACUUCAUCUUCUUGCCACGUCCUCUAACCAAUAUUAACUCAAACUUGGUCAUUUCCCUCCAAAGUAUGGUGAAAAGAAGGCAUAUUAUCUAUUCGAUAAAUUCUCACACGACAUAAAAUGACUUAAGCAGGCAUAUUAUCUAUUCGAUAAAUUCUCACAUGACAUAAAAUGACCUUUCCUUGUGCCUUUAAUGAUGUGUCAUAAGUCAUUUAUAAUCACAAUUCAGAUAUUUGCAUUGGGUGUUGUAGUUUCUCUAUCCUCUUCCAACUACUUUCACCCUUUUUACCUCAAUUUGUGACACCAUCUAAAGGUUUAAACUAUGUGAACUCUUCCUCUUCACAUUACCAUCCUUACUUCUUUUUUUUAUCUUCUCAAAUGUUAUUCCGACCUUCCCUCUCAUGACCGACCGACCUAACUUAAAUGAAUUAUGACCGGCAUUGACUUGGGCCGUUAGGUCCAGCAUGAUAGAACUCAGGCGGGCCGACCCUAACCCGAAUCUCUCUUCAACUGAAAUUCACAUGCCACAUGGCACGCUUCCAUUAGUUAAAAUCCUCGCUGUCUACAAUAGAACAUAUGACGCCCAAUGGUCUAGUCAAUUUUCGUGAUAACUGUGUGGGGAGCACAAAACUCUAGUUUAAAAAAAAAAAAAACAAAACAAAACAAAGCUAUUCUACCACCUCCUAAUCAUUACAUGUUCCCGUCUGCUCAAAAAAAAAAAAAAAAAAAAUCAUUACAUGUUCCCACUCCUUCGCUGGUCGCGCCGUCGACCAUCAAUCUCAGGAGGAUCACGUUUGUUCAUUUCAUCGAGAGCACCAUUCCAGAACUAUUUUAAAUUAAAAAAAAAAUGGAGCAAGGAAAAUUCAUCUCGAAAAGGCGAUUCCGUUCGAUUCAGUUGGCGAUUUCAAGCGUUCUGAAUUGAUACCAGUGGCGGUCGCCCGCGUCAACAGCCUCUUCAAUGCCGCGACUCAUCUCCUUCGUUUCCCUUCCGCGGCCGAGAGCUUCGAAAUGUUGUCGUUCCGCUCGAAGCUUCUCCACCUGUUCAGGUUUCGAUCAUCGACACGUUCUAUAGCUUCUUUCGGUGAUUCGUGCGCCAAACCGCGGCCUCAGUCCACUUGAUUAACCGGGUAGCAUCUCCUGUUCUGUCGUCACAAGUAAGAGGCCGAGAGUCCGAUUCUCUUAUUAUGAUGAAAUUGAUCAUAGCUGACUUUUUUUUCUUUGACUUCGAACAUCAUGUACUGAUUUAGGUUGAGUCUAGUUACAAAUUUGGGUUCGAAAUGGCUUUGAUCUGUUCCACAACCGAUUCACCAUAAUCUGUUCGAUGAAAUGUGUCUGAGACCUUGGUGUGAAUUGAUUCCAGUAAUCGUCCGAUUUGAAAGCACAUUAGUGAUGUUCACUUGAUAUUGUUUGAUUUUUUAAUCUUUAGACAUGAUUACGAGUAUACACCAAUAGUUGCCAAGGAUUAAACUGACUCUCCGUUUGUUUCCUCGGUGGUUCCUGUGAUCUUUUGGUGAUUGGUGGUGGUUGGCGAGACGAGAAGGCUUGGAGUCACUGGCACACGCGUGAUCUUUGGUGAUGAUCAUAGUACACCCUGUUGAACAGAAUUGAGAUGAUGUCGCUGAGCAUGAAUCGCGAUCACGCCAAUUCAGAUCACUAACUUUGGCCAACACAUGUUUCGGUCACUAACUGGAGCAAUGUUAUGGCUGAUUGCUAGCCGUAUCCUUGCUGCUGAGUCGCCCCACAAUGUCUUCGACCGCAGAGCUUUGCUUCUGUCCAUGCCUUGCAGUCCAUCAUUGCCAUUGUAAUUGCCGUGGUAAACCUACCUUGCCAUACAGCCAUACGUUAGCGAUAUGGAUUGAUGUACCGAUAGAGCUAUUAUCCACUGCGUUUUGUUAAAAAUCGGAUCACCUCAUACCGGUGGCUUGUUUCUGGUCCAACUGAUUUUUAGAGUUGACUGUAUGUUCAGAUUUCCUUCACCCCUUUGUUUUUUGUGUUCAGAAUUUUGCGCAUCUUCUUAAACCGAAUCAUGGGAAAGCUAAGCUGUUCAAAGUCCAGUCGUCAUGGGGUCAAUACUUUGUCACAAAAUCGUUACAUGUUACCUGCUUCGCCAUUCCUGUCCUGUCCUUUGGUUAUUGAUUACUCCACCUUCGUCAAUUUCAUUGUCCAGAAGCAGGUAAUAAAUCUGAGAACAACCACUGAAAUGAUAUUUUAUUUGUGUUGUCUACUUCCUGCUUUAUUCUCUGUGCAUGACAUAUUCUACUUCACACGUGCUGUCGAGGGAAAUCAUGGUCGACAAUCAAUAUGAAGUGAGCAAGUUAUAUUUACUCUCUGUCAUUAGUUGAUAAGCUUUUGGGUAUGACAAUCAAGGAAUGAAACCAGUUAGUAGCUUGCUCAGAAUUAGUAAAUGAGGAUUUAUUUCUUUCUUGGAAGUGUCAAUGUCAUUGCUUUGUCUCUGAUCGUGGAAAGAGUUUAUUGUUCUUUUUGAACUUGCAUAAAAAUCGAUGGAAUGCUAAUGAAGCAGUGGGAUACCCGAAAUUUACAAGUUUUAUGAAUUGGUGUGUCCUGUUUUUGCAUAUGCUGUAGUUUAGCGGUUAUUGUUCAUCUAUGUUUGCUGAACCGUUUGAUUUAUCACUUUCAAUUAACAAGAUUUUGAUAAAGACACGUGACAGUUGUGAGAGAUGCAUUGAAACUGGCACUUUGGUGAUGACAGUGCUCCUUCGUGUCACACUAUGUACUUGUUUUUAGGAAAAAUCAUUUAUGAUGUUGGAGAAGUGAAUAUGUGUUGAAGGUGCCAACCCCUCGUGAUCUUGGACCCACUCGUUGAAGAAAUGGAGAGGUAUAAACGUAAUUACUUUCCUUCUCUUCGCAACAAUUCUGCCAUUCCCAUAGAAGUUCCAAGAGUACAAUGAGGUCACUUAAAAAUAAGAAAACAGAAAAUGGAGAAACAUUUUGAAUCGGAAGCAACUAAACUAGUGUUCUAUUAUGGUUUUCUCCUAAAAUAUGUGGUGCUUAGAAUCAUUGAGAGAGAGAGAGAGAGAGAGAGCUUUCCGGAGUAAUGCUUACAACCGUGGCUGAUCAGUCAAAUAGCACAUUGGACAAUGUACAAGACUAUGUUAAGCAGGGAGAAUUAAGAUAGGUAUCCGCGUGCUUUAGUUUCUUUGCGCUUCCAGCUGAGUUGAAGCUAGAUGUAUAUAGGCGGCAUGCAUCUAUGAAACAGAAUAUCUACAGUGUCAGAGUAAACGAGGUAAGUCUGAUAAUUAUAAUGGAGGUAAUAUACAUUUUGCAGGCCCAGUAAUGGACAUGUGACGUUUGGCCAACCAAAUGAACAUAUGAAGCACAAAACCAGAAACAAAUUCUUUCAUUGUCUCACUUGUCAGCACCGGUAAAAGCAUCACGCACCUGCAAACUUCAAACAUCUCACUUGACUGAGUCCAAACUCCAAAUCUUUGCAUGGAAAGUAGAAUUGGAUAACAAAAAUGUUCACAGCAUACAAAUAAGAGGGCGCAUGAAGCUAUUGCUUCAAUUUUGCUGCUGAAGAGCACCCCACUAAUUUCGGAAUCCUCGCUGCAACCGCAAUUACCACAAUUUCCUUCAAGUGAUUCACAGUAUGAAUUCAUCUCCCAAAGUUUUCCGUCAAAAUUUGAUUCAUUAAGUCGAUGAAUGUAAGUGUCCCCAACGUAGUCCCAAAUUGCUGCGUUCUUAAAUCUAGAGAAUAGCAAUAUUGUGUAUUUUUCCAUUGGCUGAUCGCGUGCUUAUCUUUACAUCUACAAAUCCAAAAACGAAAAGCUGUAACAAGACAGCCUACCAAAACACUAAAAUAUAGACCGAAGAUGAUCAUACACCUUCCACAUCUUCCAAAACCACAUAUCAGACAAACCCGAAGAUAGAGCAAAUUGAGAUAGAGCAGAACGAAAUAUUCUUCAGAGUCAGUUCACAGAUGGGCAUCCCUGAUGAUGUUGCAAUAUGAAGCCACAUAUGCGAUAAUGUUUAAUUCUCGCAAUCUGAUCAAGUAUGCGCCAUACUUAAUAUCUUUAGCAAUGUAAUUGAACCUUGCAACAAAAUCAAAGGAACACCCUUGGCACAUCACCAGCAUUGGAGAAUAUCAUAUUGACUUAUUUUAAACAUAAAGAUUGACGAAUCAAGGAAAGGUUAGUAAGCAUAUAUCCAUUGAUGGUUAUCCUAUGUGACACUUUUUCAUCCUUUGAUAUAUACUCGAGUUCAAAGUUACUUCUUUGCUACAAAUUUACAUGGAUGGAGCAUUAGCACAAUCAGUGGAAUAUAGCUUAAAAUGUGAAAAAUGACCAAGCGCCAUAUUGUCUAACAGCCAGAAGUUUGAGAUCAAAGAUCAGCGCUUUGACAUCAUUAUGAUAACCUAUGUCAACAGUGAGUACUUAAGUUCAAUGCAUAAAUUCGAUAAUUUAUUAUUGGCCAGUGCUAUUGUGAUACCCUUGGACUCACAAUAAAUUGGACACAACGGUGACAAGACCAUUAGAUCAAAUAAUCAUAAUGAGACACUGCAAAUAUUCUUGUGUCAAAGUAUAAGAAAAAUCAAAAAACUUAGUCCAAGAAGCCACACCAUGGACCUAUUCCAAAUCAUCAAAAAAUGUAAUAAUCAUUUAAAGUGUUGAUAAAACCUCCAUAUAUAUAUUUUAAAAUUAACAAAACUAUCCAUGUUUGUAUUGAUCUUGGUAAUCGCAAAAAAGGCAUUUGUGUUUUGGGUACUAUCCGUGUCGAAAGGAUUCUUCUUGUCUAAUAAUUCUUAUUAAACAAAGAAUGGAGAGUUUAUAUAUGUGUGAUAUUAGCAAGUGACCUGCAUGAUUCAGCAAGUNNNNNNNNNNNNNNNNNNNNNNNNNNNNNNNNNNNNNNNNNNNNNNNNNNNNNNNNNNNNNNNNNNNNNNNNNNNNNNNNNNNNNNNNNNNNNNNNNNNNNNNNNNNNNNNNNNNNNNNNNNNNNNNNNNNNNNNNNNNNNNNNNNNNNNNNNNNNNNNNNNNNNNNNNNNNNNNNNNNNNNNNNNNNNNNNNNNNNNNNNNNNNNNNNNNNNNNNNNNNNNNNNNNNNNNNNNNNNNNNNNNNNNNNNNNNNNNNNNNNNNNNNNNNNNNNNNNNNNNNNNNNNNNNNNNNNNNNNNNNNNNNNNNNNNNNNNNNNNNNNNNNNNNNNNNNNNNNNNNNNNNNNNNNNNNNNNNNNNNNNNNNNNNNNNNNNNNNNNNNNNNNNNNNNNNNNNNNNNNNNNNNNNNNNNNNNNNNNNNNNNNNNNNNNNNNNNNNNNNNNNNNNNNNNNNNNNNNNNNNNNNNNNNNNNNNNNNNNNNNNNNNNNNNNNNNNNNNNNNNNNNNNNNNNNNNNNNNNNNNNNNNNNNNNNNNNNNNNNNNNNNNNNNNNNNNNNNNNNNNNNNNNNNNNNNNNNNNNNNNNNNNNNNNNNNNNNNNNNNNNNNNNNNNNNNNNNNNNNNNNNNNNNNNNNNNNNNNNNNNNNNNNNNNNNNNNNNNNNNNNNNNNNNNNNNNNNNNNNNNNNNNNNNNNNNNNNNNNNNNNNNNNNNNNNNNNNNNNNNNNNNNNNNNNNNNNNNNNNNNNNNNNNNNNNNNNNNNNNNNNNNCAAUUGAAAGUCACAUUUCAUAUUCUUCCCUAAAAUAUAUUUUGUUUUAUCUUUCAUAAUAAAAUUGUCAUUACUAUAUGCAUCUUCUUGUUUAUUUCUCAUAACGAAGCGCAUAACCAAUACACUAUCGUCCUCAUGAACUACAUUGUCUACCAAAUUAACAUGUCUUAUCUUAUUUUAUUUUCUUUUCUUUUAAAUUGAGGUAUUGCAUUAAACAUCUUAACAAAUUUUAUUCUAUUUAGGAAACAAAAAGUAACCAUUUGGUUAAGAUAAUAUAUUUAUGACAGUGUAAUUGGUCAAGGUGGCGACAUUAUUGUAUAGUCAGUUCAUACUAUCGGAUCACUAAUGACAGUGACUUAUAACGAGUAUUGCUCAUUAAUUUUCUUUUCUAUAUUUUGUUAUUAAUUAAAUAUGCAAGUCCAGUAAGGUGUGCUCAAUCUCGACUAUCAAUAAAAGAUUCAUGUGCACUUGCUCGAAUAUUCAGAUUUAUGGAUUUUAUUGAUCAUAUGUUGUUGGACGAUGUCAAUUACAAAGUUUGGAUUAUUUAAGGUUCGGGCCAAGAUGAUGUGGCAUUAACAUAUAUUCCCAAAAUAUGAACCCAAUAUACCAACAACUCAGGAAGGGCCAGGAGUUUGUGAAAAGAAAAAAGAAGGUUGACCAAAAUUAUCUCGUUUAGGUCAUGGGUGGAUUUAAUGUAAUGUAUAACUCAAUUAGUUGUUGAUUGUGUAAACAAGAUCGUCGUAAUCAUCCAAUUUGCCCAAUCAAGGACAAACAAAUCUUCUCAUAUUUACCAUCAAUCGAUUUUUAAUUAUCUUGAUAAUCUAAUAUCCAUAUAGUAGAUUCUUCAGAAUUGUUACUUUAUUAAAUGUGCUAAUAUGCUUGUAACUCCAUUCAAACUGGGAUAGAGAGCCUAAUCUGAUUCCCAUCUUUAGUAAAAUCUUCACGUCUAAUUUUCAAAGGCCAUUAAACAGCAGAAAAGAAGUGGCUCUGUGUAGAGGGUUUGCAUUACGGUUUUCUAAUAAAUUAGGUAUCCUCUUCAAAAUUAUAUGCCAAUGAGUAUAUCAUUAUCAUUAAACGCUGCCGUAAUCUACUUUAUUUAUUUAUUUACUAAAAUUUGUUGGCGGAGAAUACGCACCUACCGCAUAAUGUUGCGGAAAUAAUAACCCAAGGAGUAAUGUUUUUGUGAUUGACUCGUGUAGAUUUGCACCGGAAUCAUGGGAGUAUUGCUAAUGCUGGUUAGUUUUCUUUUAUAUUUCUCUUAUUAACGAAACAGCAAAGUCAAGUCAACAAGCACGAGCAUAGGAUUCUUUCACGCACCUCCUGCAAACUGCUGUGGAAAUUACGCGUGCAUUGAUUGACCUGUGGAAAUUGGUUUUGGUGAGAAUUGACGGUUGGUCUUCAUUUUUAUUUCUUUAUUAGUAGAAAAAGCAAGUCAAGUCAAAAAGCUUAGGAUGGUCCCCACGCUUGCUGCAAAAUGCAGUGGAAAUUACGCGGGCAAUAGUUGCCCUACGGUUGUCUUUUCUAUUUCUCUUAUCGAUACAGAAGGCAAGGCAAGUCAAAUCAAGGUCUUGCUCGCUUUGGAUAAAUAAAAUGUUUAGAAAUAAAAUAUCAUUAACAUUGGAAAUAUUUGUUAUUAAUUAAAAUAAUUAAUUAAUAUAAAUAAUCAUUUAAAAAAUAUAUUUUAAAUGAUAUGAUGAAAUUAUUUUUUAUUAACUAGUUAUUUCAAAUAAUACAAGUAAACAUAAGAUUUAUCAUUUCAAAAAUUGACUUGUAUUUCUCUAAAAAAUUAAUCAAUAAAAAAUAUUUUCAUUAUCAAUGAUAAUUUAUAUUUAAAUAUUUUCAUGAACAAUUCAUUUAUUAAUUUUAGUAAGUAAUAUAAAUGAUUAUUUUUAAAAUAAUAUUUUUUGAAUUAUUUUUAUCUUAUGGAACAAAUGCACGCUAAAAGCUCCAAACAAAUGUUAAACUGAUGUGAUGAAGUAUUAAGGUGCCCUAUCAAGGACCCCAAACGUUAAAUCCUCGAAGUUGCCAUACAGCUUGUACCUAUCAAAGAAACUCAAAAAUCUACCCACACUGAUAUGAACAAGACAAACUGGUGGACUAGAGAGAGCCUUGUAAGAUGAACCAAAGAUAAGGAUGGAAUCUUGAACACCCAAUGAAACAAGAGAUACAGAUAUCACAAGAUAAGGCUCAAAAUUCAUUUAUAAUAUGUUUUGUGGUGUGUUUAGGCCAUAGACCGAUCAUAUCUUUCAUUCUCAUUGGAUGCGCAGGAAUCCAAUAUCCUAAUAUAUAAUAUAGGUGUGUUUCAAAGGUUGUGGUCUCCGAAUAUGCAAACAUUUUUUUUUUCUAAUAAGGUGCUAAUUUGUCUUUACCUAGUGUGAGUGGAAAUCCAUCACUGACCUCACCAGUAUUUUCCAUGAUCUAAUUUCAAAUAGUAGAAGAUUAAUGGGCAAGUUGAGCCUAGAAAUCCUUGCCCAACAUCAAUCAUGAUUAAAGAAUAGGAAAAUACUACCAACCCCAGGUCUAUAGGGAGAGAAUUUAUCUUUUGUUUUUUCAUUCAUCUUUUUUAGUUUUUGCCGCACUCUUAGUUUAAUAUUCCUUGAUCUUAUGCAAUUAAAAUAUUUGCACUCACAUUAAGGACCCAAUUGCACUAUCACUUGAAUUAUUUUCCUAAAAUUAACUAUUUAUAUCAUUUAAAAUAAUUAAUUAAUAAAAAUAUUUUAAUUAUCAAUGAUAAUUUAUAUUUAUACAUUUUGUAUUUUUUUUCAAAGCGAGCAAGACUUUGACUUGACUUGUCGUGCCUUUUCUAUGAAUAAGAGAAAUAGAAAAGAAAACCAAAGGGAAAUCAUUGCCAGCGUAAUUUCCAUUGCAUUUUGCAGAAGGUACCGGGGACCAUCCUCUGCUUCUGGACUUGAUGUACUUUUUCUACUAAUAAAGGAAAUAGAAAUGAAAACGAACAAGCAAUUCUCCACCAUCUAAUUUCCACAGGGCAAUCAAAUGCACGUGUAAUUUUCACAGCAGUUUGCAGAAGGUGCGUGGAACCAUCCUGCUCUGGUGCUUCUUGACUUGACUCUGCAGUUUUCUGUUAAUAAGAAAGAUAGAAAAGAAAACUAAGGGCGCGUUUGUUUUCACUUCUUUUUUUUGUUUUUAAACAACUUUUCUGUUUUUCUGUUCCUGGGAACAAAAAAGGAACAUAAACGCAUUUGGGUGCGUUUUUGUUCCAAAAUUGUUUUUUUGUUCCCAGAAACACAUUUGGAACAGAAACAAGAAACAAAAAACAAUUGUUUCUCAUUUCUGAAACAGAUUUGAGAAACACAUUUCUUCUUCUUCUUUUCUUCUUCUUUUUUCUUUCUUUUUUCUUUGGCCGGUCGCCAGCUCGGCCAGGGCCGGCGACCGUCGGCGACUGGCGGUCGGGGGCCGGCGUACUCACCGGAGCAUCGCCGGCUCCCGGCGAGGCUGAGCUCGCCCAGAUCCGGCGAGCCCGACCUCGCCCAGCGGCCGGCGAGGCUCGGCGUCGCCGGGCCACCGCCAAGUCGGCUCCUGGCGGUGGCCCGGUGAGGCCGAGCCUCGUCGGCCACUGGGCGAGCCCAACAUCACGCCGGGUUGGGCGAGCUCGAGCUUGCCCAACCAAGGCGAGGCCGAGCCUCGCCUAGCUAUGGAGAGGCUCGGCCUCGUCGGGGGGCCGGCGAGCCUCGCCGUGGCUGGGCGAGGCCGCCGGCCCCUCGUCGGCCGGUCUGCCGUCCAUGGGUCGAGGCUGGCGACCGCGCCAACAGAAAAGAAAAAUGAAAAAUGGGAAAUAGAACUAGUAAAUGAAACUGUAAUAACUAUGUAAAAAAUCGUUCUUAGACUUUACCGAAGCGUGUUUUUGGUGUAAUUUUUAUUUUCCGGAACAAGUUUACCAAACGCGUUUUUUUGUUCAAAAAUUGUUCUCCGGAACAUAAACAUUUUUUUUUAUUUUUGUUCCCUGGAACAAUUUUUAAACAUAAAUGUUACCAAACGCGCCCUUAACAAGCAUAGCAAUGCUCCCGUGCUCCCGGCAGUAAUUUAAAUGAGUUAAUAAAAAAAAAAACCACUUGUUGGAUUAUUAUUUACGUGGUAUCAUGUGGAAGGUGCGUACUCUCCGCCAACUAAUUUUAAUAAACCAAUAAAAAGAAAAUAGAUUGCAAUAGCAUUUGAUGAUGAUGAUAGGAUGCACCGGAAAGGAAAAUUAGAAAAAUUUUCCUUUUUUCUUUCAUCAAUCUUUCUUUUAUCUAAAUAAAUUACUAACUCAUUCAUAUAUAUUUUCAGAUGAUGAGAAAACCCUUCCGAUUUCCAUUAUUCAUUCAAAUAAUGGAUGUUUCGUUCAUUUCCUCUAGAUAUUUUGCCUCCCAAGCAAGUAAAAAUCUAGGAGCUCACUAAUUCCAUCCAUUCUCGCUACACUUCUUGAUUCCCAAAAGAGUUUGAACCAAUGUUUAUCAUUUGUCUAGAUAACUUCUUGAUCCUCAAAAGAGUCUGGACCAAUAUUUAUCAUUUGUCUAGACAACUUACAUAAUGACAAACUUUUCUCCUCCUAGAUAUCUAGGAUUUCAAUUUUUUUUUUCUUUUCCUCGGGGAGGGAUUCACCCAUCGGCCACGCCCACCAAUUAUUAGAAGCAUCGUUAGGAAAAAAAUAAAUGCGCCCUACUAUGCGUCAAAGUUACAUUCCAUAUUCUUCCUUAAAAUAUAUUUUGUUUUAUCUUUCACAAUAUAAUUAUUAUUAAUCCAUCGAUUGUUUUUUUUUUCAUAACUAAGCACAUAACCGGUACGAUGCCGUCCUCAUAAACUACAAUGUCCAUCAUAUCAUAAUGUCUUGUUAUGUUUUUCUGUUUUUUUUUUUAUUUUCGUUCGUAAAUCGAGGUAGUGUAUUAAACAUCAUUUAAUUAUGAUGAUAUAUUUAAUAGUGUGAUUGGUCAAGGUCGUGAUAUCAUUGUAUGGUUAGUUCGUGCUACUCAAAUGCUAAUGAUAGAGACCUGUAACAAGUAGUGCUCGUGAAUUUUCUUUUAUAUAUUUUGUUAUUGAUGGAAAAUGCAAGUCCAAUCAAGUGAGCUGGAUCUCAAAUUUCCAUCGAAGCAUCACUUGCACUUGCUCAAAGCUUCAAGUCUAUGGAUUUCAUUGUUUGCAUGUUGUUGUAGGAUGUCAAUCGCAAAGUUUACUUGGGUGGGGCCAACUACAAUGUCUUGUGAGUUUGUGAAAAUGAAAAAAAAAAACAUUUGAUCAAAAUCAUCUUGUUUACGUCAUGAAAUGGAUUUAACAUAAUGUAGUAAAUAAAUUAGUUAUUAAUCGUGCUAACAAGAUUGUCAUAAUUGUCCAACUUGCCCAAGCAAGAACAAACGAAUUUUCCCGUAUUUACUAUCACUUCAUUUUUAAUUAUCUCGAUAAUAAAAAAUCCAUAAAUUGUAGAUUCUUCACAAUUGUUACUAGAUUAAAUGUGCUAACAUGCUUGUAGCUCCAUCCGAACUUGAACAUAGAGUUUCACCAUAUUCCUCUCUUUAGUAAAAUUUCCACAUCUAAUAUUCAAUCGGCAUUAAACAGUAGGAAUGAACUAGUUCUAUGCACAAAUUUGAUGAUUGUAUUACGAUUUUAUGAUAAAAUAGGUAUCUUCUUCAAAACUAUAUGUCAAUAUGCAUACCAUCAUCAUUAAACGCUACAGCAAUUUACUUUUUUUUUUCUUUAUUAAAAUUAGUUGGCAGAGAAUACGCACCGUCCACAUGAUGCCGUGGAAAUAAUGAUGCAAUGAGUGAUGUUUUUGUGAUUGACUCAUGUAUAGUGGCACCGGCGGCAUGGGAGCAUUCCUAUGCUGGUUAGUUUUCUUUUCUAUUUCUCUUAUUAGUUGGAAAAAAAAAGCAAAGCAAGUGAAGAAGCAGCAAUAUUGCAUGGUUCCACGCACCUUCUGCAUAACUGCUGUGGAAAUCACGCGUGCAUUGAUUGCCUUGUGGAAAUUAGAUCGUGGAGAAUUAAUCGUUGGUUUUCAUUUCUAUUUCCUUUAUUAGCAGAAAAAGCAAGUCAAGUCAAGAAGCAGAGAAUGGUCCCCGACACCAUCUGCAAAAUGCAGUGGAAAUUACGCGGGUAACAAUUGCCCUUUGGUUUUCUUUCCUAUUUAUCUUAUUGAUAGUAAAGGCAAGGCAGGUCAAGUAAAAUGCUGACAAUUAGUGGAGGUCACAGCGGCAGGCGAGCAGUCAUAAGCGUAAGGGGGAAAUUAUCCACCGAGCACGCCCACUAAUUACUAAGAGCACCGUCAGAAAAAAAAGAUAAUACACUUUACGAUGUGAAGAAGCAAUUGCAUUUCAUUUUCUUUCCCAAAACUUUAAUUUGUUUUAUCAUUGCUAUUUAAGCUUUGUUUCGUGCAUAUACUUAUUUAUUUCUUACAUAAGGAUACAUGUAAUUGGUAAAAUGUCAUCCUCGAGAACUACAAUGUCCACUAUAUUACCAUUUCUCAUUUUUCUUUUUCCAUUUGUACUUUGAGGUGAUAAAUUAAAAAUGUUAACAAAAACAAAUUCUACUCAGGAGUCAAGUCAAGCAUGAUGAAUCUCAAAUUUUGAUCAAAAUGUCACACAUUUGAUAGAAAUUUCAAAAUCUAUGGAUUUCAUUAUUCACAUGUUAUGGUAGUUUGUCAAUUGGAAGGUUUGGAUUAUUUAAGAUUUGCAUAAAGAUAAAUCUAAUAUGAGGCAACAACUCAAUUAGUUCUUAAUUACGCAAAUGUUGUGAUUGUCCAACUUGCCCAAUCAAUAACAAACAAACCUACCCAUAUAUACUAUCAAAUCGUUUAUUUAAUUUUCUCGAUAAUCUAAGAAUCAUUGGGAUAUAGGGUCUCAUCCGGUUCUAAUAUUUCGUAUGAUGUCUGCAUCGUUUCUUCAGUUGACCGUAAACAAUGAUGAAGUGACUCUACACACAUGAAUUUUGGUGGUCGUCUUCUGCUUUUCUGAUAAAAUGGGUCCCCCCUUCAUAACUAUACGUCAAUAUGCAUGUCAUGAUCCAUCCUGCAGAGAGAGAGAGAGAGAGAGAGAGAGAGAGAGAGCGCAUUAUCGCAAUCUGCACAAUCAGAAUUGAUUGUUGCUUUUCGGUUCUAUUUCUUUAUUCAUAAAAAAAAAAGUCAAGUCAAGUAAAAAAGCACACGUACCUUCGCCUGAUGCUGGUGUGCAAUAAUUAUCCUGUCCGCAGCACGCGACUUGGAUCGUUGGAUGGCACAUUUAUCCUACAGAGAGAGAGAGAGAGAGAGAGAGCAUUAUCAAUCUGCACAAUCGGGAGAGAGAGAGAGAGAGAGCAUUAUCGCAAUCUGCACAAUCGGGAGAGAUUGUUGCUUUUCGAUGCUAUUUCUUUAUUCACAAAAAAAAAAGCGAGUCGAGUCAAAAGGCACACGUACCUUCGCAUAAUGCUGGUGUGCAAUAAUUAUCCUGUCCGCAGCACGUGACUUGAAUUGUUGGAUGGCAACUCAGCAUUAUGUGCUCUUUUGGACGAAUCUCCUUUGAAAGAAAAAAAAAAAAAAGAGAGUAGAUUUUGGAUUGAAAAUAAUAAAUUAUCCUUAUUCGAGUAUCUAAACAAAGUGUCCUGCUGACAUUUAUGUUAAUAUGUUUUUGUAAUUGACUCAUGUCUAUUAGUACUGGCACCAUGGGACUCUUGCUGGUUAGUUUUCUUUUCUUUUUCUUUUAUUAAUAGUUAAAAAAGCAAGUCAAGUAAAAAAAACACUUGCAUAGAAUGGCCCCACGCACCUCCUACCGUGUAAUGCCGGGGUAUUAUCAAACACCAUUUUCUUUCAUUUUAAAUACUUAAAAUGGUCUGAAAUUCAGUAAUUAUUUUCCAGUUUUACUUAAAUGGGCAUGUACUCGCAGCUUAUUUUUCACAAAUGAAUUAAGUUUAGCACUGGCAAAAAAAAAAAAAAAAAAAAAACAAGUUGAGUCAAGUUGAAAAUCGAGUUCUAAUGCAAAAGGUUCGACUUGAAAUUACCAAUGCAAUCAUUUACUUUAAGCCAUCAUAAUACAAUGCUAAAUAUAUUUUAGAUCUUAACAACUUAUUUGGUUUGAUUUCUAGCUUUUUCUUGACAACAAAGUAUAGAUUAAGUACGUUAAUCCGCAUAUCAACAAAUUCUCCACUAAUGCAAAAUAUCAGGCAAGACACAAGUCUCCAAAUACGAAAGAGUUUAUGCUUACAAAUAUGAGGAACCAACACAAAUUGCAUACUUAGGCCCCAUAUACUAAUUUUUACUUUCUAUUCUCUCGCACCUCUCAUAGUCGAACUUUUGCUUAACAAAAAUUAUUUAAAAGAUUCAAAAUAUGCAGAUAUCUAUCACAAAGAUAAUUAUACGAUUAUGUUUGUAAUUUAACUUAAAGAACGUACACAGUUAAAAAUUUUCAAAUGUAAAACAUCAAUUAUAUUUUUAAGUGCAACCUAAAUAUUUAUCAAAGGGCCGCAUACCAAAAUUUUCUUUUAUUUUGAAAGAGGUAAUGCUCCUCAUUUGUCGGCAGAGAAAAAGGCCUAAAGAUGGAGCACCUCAGUUAGCGCUGUCGGGGAGCAUUUCAUAUUCCCCACCUUCUUUUUCAAAAAGCCAAAAGAAAUCGCCCCGAACGUCCAACCCGCCCAGUCGCCUCGGUCAGGGAGAACGCGGGAACUCGCUCGGACCGCGCGCCCCGUGGGCUCGAGGGGGCAAUUCGGUACAUUCCGAGUGGCCGAAGAUAUUCCCGAGAUGCGAGGUGGGGACCACACGUUGGCUUCGGUUUCUGAGCAGCUGACCGUCGUAGCGGUCGAGCAACGCGGAGAGGAGGAGCGGCGUGGGUCCGCGUGAAGAGACAACCUAAGCAGAAUCCACGAGGCAAAUUUCUACUCAGUUUUCGCGGAUAAAAGUCUUCGUUUAGUUACUUUAGGGUUUCCACCAUUGCUUAAGGCCUCAGCUUGCAUAGCAGAGUUUACUCUUACCGAUCUAGCAAAUUCAUCCAUCAAAUCUCCAUAAUUGUUUCGGCAAACACAGAUUAUCGCUCCGAUCGUUGUUCCGGACAAGAAAGUUCUAUUUAUAUUGAUUUUGAGGGUGUCUUCGCUUGGGCCAAACUAGAUCUGAGGUGAGGCUUCUUCGCCUUUUCCCAACUGUUGAAGCACUAAUUUUUCGCCAUGGUUGAACUUAUAAGGUGCUUCGGAUUUGGCUUUAGUUUGCAGAAAACAGAGUAAUUUCUUUCUUUCCAAAUACGCCAGAGGAUAGAUGCAAGGAGGCUGAAACAUGAAGAGGAUGAUUGAAUUUAAGUAGCCAUUCAUCUAUUCGACCUAGUCCAUAAGGUGAGAUCUUAAUUUGUAGUGCAGGAUCCAUCCAAAUUUGAUGUGUGCAAGGGCAAAGUAAGAAGAGGUGCUCUACCGUUUUCGGGUUCUGUUUACAUAAAUCGCAGGUACUUUCUUCCACUAUACCUCUCUUUCGUCGAUUUUCUUUUGUCGGCAAUGCGUUUUGACAAAAUCCCAAUAAGAAAAUCUUGAUUUUCAGGCUUGUCUUAGCCUUCCAAAUCUUUAUCCAAAGAGGUCUAGGGAUUUGGUGAGAGGUCGAGGUUGUGGUGUUAUUGUUUUGUUCUUCCUUCUCUUUGAUUCUAUUAUACCCACUUUUAAGAAGUAUAGUCUCCUGUGCUUUUGUUUGUCCAACAUAAUUUAUCCUUCUUUGCCUGGGAACCAAUGGGAUAUUUAGAAUUUCGUUAGCUGUGUGCUCAUCGAACAGAGUUCCAAUAAAUUGUUCAUUCCAAGCUGGGACAUCUCUCUGAAUAAGCUCAGAGACCUUUUUUGGUUCAUCCCUAUUUGUGGGUCUUCCUAUAACUCCUCUGGGAAGCCAUUUUGUCUCUCUAAUAUUAAUCUGUUCCCCGUUCCAUGCUAUCCAUUUUACUGAAGGAAGAAUCUCGUCUUUGCUCAUUAGAAGAUUUUGUUUGCCCCAUAAAAGUGGAUACCCCUUUGCAGCUGACCAAAUUUUAGAAUGAGGGAAUUAUAGACCUUUUAGUAAUUGGCACCAUAGUGAUGAAGGAUUUUGCAUCAUAUGCCAUGCUUGUUUACCGAGCAUGGCUUUGUUGAAGGCAAUUAAAUUUCAAAAUCCCAAACCUCCAUUGUCUUUCCUAUUCUUAAGAAUGUGCCACUUCUUCCAGUGUAUUCCAGAUUUUUGUUCAUCAGUAUUCCGCCAGAAGCUUGCGACUUUCUUUUCAAUACUUCAACAAUUAAAAACUAGAACUUUAAAAACUGACAUUGCAUAUUGUGGAAGAGCCUGCACUACUACUUUGAAUGAGAACUUCUUUUCCAACCCUAGACAUAAGUUUUUCCUCCCCCCUUUUAGUUUCAUGUUUACCCUAGCUAAUAUCCAAGCGAACAUUUCAAUUUUUGUUUCACCCCAAUCACAAGGAAUUUCUAAAUACUUCCCGGUUUUAGCAAUUUCUGGGACCCCCAAUUCAGCUGGCAUAUUUUGGCAGAGUGUAAAAGGACAUUUUUGCGGAAGGAUAACCCUGAUUUGUUUAAGUUUAUAGCCUGGCCUGAAGCAAAACAGUAGCUCUUCAAAAUCUUAGCCACGGCUUUGACAUUCUUUUAUAGUCCCAUCCAAGAAAAAGAUUGAAUCAUCUGCAAAGAGAAGGUGGGUUAGUGUAGGACAAUGCUUGUUCAGCUAAAUGCCUUUAAUAGUGCCUUGCUUUGAAGCUUGUUUCAAUAAUACCGAGAACAUAUUUGUCACUAUAAUAAAAAAGAUAUGGCGAUAGUGGAUCACCUUGUCGUAGACCUCUUGAAGGUUGAAAGUAAUGAAGUGGUUCUCCAUUGAAAUUUAUAUUGAAAGAAACGGUGGCAACACAUUACAUUACCUAGGUCACCUAUUAGCAUGAAAACCCAUUUUUAUUAUACAAGCUUUCAAGAAGUCUCAUUCAAUUUUGUCGUAUGUCUUUCGCAUGUCCAAUUUUAGUACAGCUUGUAACUUCCACUUUCUAUUUCUGAUUUUGAGCUGGUGUAAUACUUCCUAGACUAUUAAAAUAUUGUCCCAGAUAAGUCGGCCACUGACAAAUGUAUUUUGUUCUAGUAAGAUGAGAACUCUCAACCACUUCUUCAGUCUAUUUGCUAAGAUUAUUGAGAUGAUCUUGUAUGAAAAGUUGCAUAAACUAAUGGGGAGAUAUUUGACCAAACUCUCGGGAUGGUCUUGUAUGCUCUUGUGAUUGACCCGUGUAUUUUCGCACCGGGAGCAUGGGAGCAUUGCUACACUGGUUAAUUUUCUUUUCUAUUUCUCUUAUUAAUGGGAAAAAAUAGAAGAAGCAAAGACAAGUCAAAAAGCACCAGCAUAGGGGUGGUUCCACGCACCUUCUGCAAACUGCCGUGGAAAUUACAUGUGCAUUGAUUGCCCUGUGCAAACUAAGCGAUGGAGAAUAUAGUUAUGGUAUUUUGUUUUAUAAAUAAUUUCUAUUUAGAAAUAAUUUUUUUAUUCUGUUCCUUUGAUGAGUUUCUAAGCAUUUGAAAUAUAUGGUAAUUGCACAAAAUUUCUAAUUUUGAAAUAGAAGAAGAAUAAAAAUGAGUUUGAUAUAAUCCUCAAUUUUUUUUGUGCCAUAGAAUUUGUUUUAAUUUUUUAAUAACUUUAUGAGAUCUUUUCUUUUUCUUUCUUUUCUUUUUCCUUCUCUUAUUCUUCUUCUUCCUUCUCUAGUCGGUCCCCCGCCUUUGAUGAGGUCUGAGCCUUGCCCAGCCAUGGCAAGGCUAAGCUCGCCUCGACGAGGCUGACCAUUUCUUUGGCUGGUUGCUGGGCUAGAGGAGGAGGAAGAAGAAAAGAAAAGAAAAUAAAAAAAACAAAAUUACUUGAUUCUAGAAUUAUUCCUAAAAACAAAAAAAUAAUCUCUUUUUAUUUGUCGAUUUUAUUCAAAAUUUAUUCUUAGAAAUAAAUUUAUUUUCGGGAGUAUAAAAAUUAAUUGAUAUUAUCAAAAUAAUUUUUAUUUUUAUUUAAAAAAAAUCAAAGAACAAAAUUCGCUAAGAAUUACCGCUUAUCAAUCGGUCCAUACUGACUUUUUUUUUGGUCGAAGGUCCUUACUAACUUGAAGCAUGAUAAUUGAUUGUUGAUUGUCGUUUCUAUUUCUAAACACUAGCAUCAUGGCACCCUUGAAAACUCAUCUACAAUUAAGUCCAGAACUACUAGAACUCAUUUAUUCCGAACUCCAUCCCUUCCCUCUUGCAAUGCCACAGGGAGGAGGGAAGGAAUACUUGCCUAGAUCCAUAUCUAAUGGACUACAUUCAUUAUAACAGUUAAUUAUGUGGAUCUCAUGUGGGCACUAUAUAGGAGACUAAUAUGAUUGAAUUAAUUUCUUUUAAACUUUAACCCUUCUCUACAAUGUUAGGAUUGCUUAUAUCAUCAGAUUAGGUCGAAUAUAAAGGAUUAUUUUACAUUAUUAAUGAAAUUGAAAGAGAUUUCUUUUCUUGGGAUAAUGACGGCUUGUGUUUUGCUUGAUGAGUAAUUGAGUACUUGAAUUUUUUUCUUUGAUCAAGCAUUUCAAUUUCUUAAUUUUGGGUUCGACGUAGUAUCUCCAUUAUUAUUGCUCUAUUUCUCCCCACUUUUUAUCUUCUCCGGCAAGUCCAUAUCACGUUCCCAUCCCAAGUCUCUCUCUCUCUCUCUCCCUCUCCACUUUUCUUCUUCCCAAAAAAUCCACCAUUUUUAAUGAAUUGAAUUUUUUUCGACCAAAAAAAGAAAGUGCAUUGAAAAUUUAACAUCACUUGUCUAUUUAUCUCUGGUUUUAUUUCUUUUCAUUUCUUCUGCAUUGAAAUUUCCUCGCAUAUUUUCUUCUUCUUGGACAGGUAUCGCGUUGGAUUUUCUUGGGCGUUGAGAUUUCCGCUUUGUGAAGACACGACUCUAAGCACGUGGUAACUGUUCCCAGUGCAUCAAUUACUAAUUUACAUAUACCUCAACCAGUUUGACACAUUGGUGCGAUUCUGAUUGCCGAUUGGUUCGAUUAUAUAACUCAAACCAAUAAAGAGGAGUGGGCAACAAGGCAUUUCGUGUUUCCUGAGAAGCAUUCUGGUUUUUCCUCUGUCAACAGUUGAAAGCAAACAGUAAGGGCAGAGUCAGAGCAAAGACGAAAUGCUUCGUCCCAUUUUUGAGCAUUCUUUCGCCGUGCUCGUGGCACUCGUCCUUCUCUCCGUCCUUGCGUUCUAUUUUCUGAACAAGAAGAAAACCGGCGUGCGUAAAAAUGUAAAAGAUGCUGACGCUGCCACAUCUGGUUCGUUGACCACGUCGACUGGAAACUACUACGAGGUGUUCUUGAACUUUAGAGGCCGAGAUACUCGAAGAGGCUUCACCAAUCACCUCUACAAUGGGCUUGUUGAUGCUGGAAUUUCUGUUUUCAAAGAUGAUAACGAGCUCCGCCAAGGCGAGAAGAUCGGACCAGACCUUUUGACAGCCAUUAGGAACAGUAAGAUCCUAAUCCCCAUUAUCUCCGUUAAUUAUGGGCAGAGCAGGUGGUGCUUGGAUGAACUAGUUCAAAUAAUGGAGUGCAAGAAGAGUAACAUGGGUUAUACCGUGUUGCCCAUAUUCUACAAAGUGGAACCAUCUCAAGUGCGAUAUCAAAAAGGGAGCUUUGGAAAGGCAUUUCGUACCCGCAGUAAGUAUUUCGACUCAACGACUAUGGAGAAAUGGAAGCAAGCACUCGAGGAAGUUAGUUCCUUGAAAGGAUUUGAUGCCAAUGGGUAAAAUUUUUUCACCAAAACAUUCUCUACUUUCUUUUAGUUUGCGUGGAUGUUUACUAGUUGUUCUAAUUCCUACUUGCUUCAUUUCUUUCUUUUAGUUUUUUAUUAUUAAAUAAAAUAAAGAAAAAGCAGUAAGAUCUUGCGAUGCAUGAGUUCCAUAAGUCAUUCUGUUUCAAGAAUUACUUUAAUGGUAUCAACAAAUAUUGUCGUAGAAUUUAUGGUUAUCAUCCCACUAGCUUGAACAAUAUAGAAUUUUUAAUUGACUUAUUACUGUUAUGUCCAACGACUUUUUAGGAUCGUGCCUUCUUUCAUGUUUAGGGCGUAAGCUUUCAUUACUCUUCAUCACAAAAUUUCCUAAUUACAUAUUUAUUUUAAGAUUAAGCUCAUCAAAUCAUAUACCACGCAUGUUGAAUUAAAUCAUUAUUGUCGUUAAUUUGUUGCUACUAAAAUUAGUUUUACAAAAGAAAUAUUUCAUUGGUUAUGUAGUAUGAUGGUAAAUUUAAAAAGGAAAAAAAUUAUAUUUAUUAUAUGUUUUUUUAGAUAAUUUUCAAUGCAUUUUCCUAUCUUAUAAUUUCUAUGUCAUAUGCCUGCAUAAAUUGAUUAAUUAAAAUCAUAUAAAAUAUACACUUAAGAGAAAAAUAAAGUACGACCUGUUAUCAUCCCUUGAUGCAAAGAAAAUUUAUAAGAACACAAAUCUAGAGUGAUAUUAAAUUCAGAGUAAGAGUAGAAACUUACAAGCGUGUAGAAUUGCAUAGAUAAGAGAAACACCCUCAAAUUCAGGUAGUCAUAAUAUAGAACUCUAACGACUUUCAUGAUGGGAAUUCCUCUUGCAUCAAAAGUUAUGACUUAGUUAUUGGUUGAUGGUUGAACUCUCAUAUCAGGUUGAUUUAUUGGAUUUUUUCUUAUUCAACCACUCUAGAAAAUUUUCAAUGUCAUGUAAACAUCAUCUCCAUUAUCUGUAACAGACAACAUUUAAAAUUUAAUUUAAAUCUAUAAUUCAUGUAAUAUUCAAGAUUCAUUAGCGAUACCCUUAAGUUUCUUCUGGUUCAACAAAUUAUGUAAGAGUAAUAAUGAAAUGGGGCACGCCAUGUGAAGCAACCACCACCAUUCCCUGCCUUUAUCUUAGCGUAUAAGAUAAUAUAUGGAGGUGGUGGCAAAAAAAAUCUUUAAGUUUUCCAUUUUAUUCUCCAAUUUAUUUAUUAUUGUCCUAUCAUUAAUUAAACAAUACAAAAUCGCUAUUUGCCAUGCAUUUGAACUCUUAUCACAUUUGACAGGUACGAAGGAGAAUUGGUAAAAUCAGUUGUACAACAAGUGUUAUUCGAGCUGAAGAAAAAGUUUGAGUUGCUUAUUCCAAAGAAUUUGGUCGGCAUUGAUUGUCAAGUGAAAAAGGUUAUGAAAUUUGUAGAUGAUAUUUCUAGUGCCUCCCUAUUUGUUGGCAUCCACGGAAUGGGAGGCAUUGGUAAGACUACUCUUGCUAAAAUCAUCUACAACAAGCUUUCCAAUCAAUUUAAGCAUCAUAGCUUCAUUGCUGAUGUAAGGGAACGAUGUGAUGAUAGAAGACUUGUGUACUUGCAAAAUCAGUUAAUCAAGGAUAUAUUGAAGCUAGAAAAUCAAGUUUCUAGUAAUGAUGAAGGGAUUCGGUUCAUUUCAUCCAAGUUUAAUGGUAAGAAAGUCCUUAUUCUUCUCGAUGAUGUGAGCAAUGACGAUCAAUUGAAGGCUUUGGCCGGAAAUCAUAAUUGGUUUUCUUCGGGAAGUGUGAUCAUCAUUACCACCCGAAACAAAAGUAUUCUUGACAAUGCUGGGGUGGACAAUCGGUAUGCACUUGAGCAAUUGGAUAAGGAUAACUCUUUGAUUUUGUUUAGUAGACAUGCUUUUCGAAGGGACUCUCCUCCAAGUGAAUUUGAGGACCUCACUCGUGAUGUUGUUUCCACCACUGGAGGGCUUCCCUUAUCUCUUGAGGUCUUAGGUUCGUUUUUGUGUGGAAAAAGUAGAAAACUAUGGGGAGAGGCGAUAAAGAAGUUAAGAAAAGUUCCUCAUGAGAGAGUGCAACAAAAGUUAAGGAUAAGUUACGACGAAUUAACCCAUGAACAAAAACAAAUUUUUUUGGAUAUUGCUUGUUUUUUCAUUAACACUGAUAAGAUAAUCGCAUCCUACAUGUGGGAUGCAUGUGACUUUUUCCCGGAGCAAGGAAUUGAAGUAUUGAGAUUUCUGUCUUUAAUAAAAGUUGGAGAUGACCAUAAGCUCUUAAUGCAUGACCAGUUAAGAGAUCUUGGUAGGGAAAUCAUCCGGGAGGAAAACUAUUCGGAGCCUUGGAACCGUAGCAGGUUAUGGGACUCUAAGGAUGUCUUGGAAGUGCUCGAAGGAAAUAAGGUAUUCGUUUCUUUUCUUCUGCUCCCUUAGUCCAUGUUGUAUUGUCAAGGUGACAUUGGUCCUCCACUUAGUGCUUGCUCUAGUGAAUAGAGAACCUUCCAAUAUUGUUCUCCUCGUGUCAUUUCGUUGACAUGGUUAGAAAGCAGAAAAUUGCUCUCUUAGUAAGUAUAGCAGUUUAUCAAAGAUUUUUCUUACACAAUUGUACAUUACGAAGGGUUUUCCAAGAAUGAGGUACUUUUGAAUUCAUUAGAUACUUGAUUGGGUAUUCUACAUUGAAAAAAUCUGAAUUUAUUUAAUUGUUUGGGUUAGGUCCUUGGCACGUGCAACAGAUAACUUGACUAUACUAUUGUGAACAAUAACUACUUAGGAUAUAUAAAACAUAGAAUCCUAAUCUCCAGGUGUUAGAAUUCAUACAAUUGGAGUAAUUGUGCCGGCAUUUUUUAUGAAAUUUCAAUCAUUAUACCUUAAUCGAGAACGUAAAGUUUGUUUUUUUUUUAAUUUUUAAUUUUUAUGUUAUGUUAGUUUAGGAAUUACUAAUUUACCAAAAUUCACAUGAUAGAACAGAAACAUAUGUAGACAUACAUAACGAUAACGUCGAGUGUACUUCCUGCAAUGACCAUUAAAAAGAGAAAGAUCUCUUUUUUUCCGCAUAAAAAGUCCAAGAGAUAAAUACCCUAUUCUAUUUUGUAUAUAAUUAAGUAUGUGAUUGUGUUACAUUUGUGAAAUUAAUUAUAGUUUUGACUUAAUUACUUUGAAUUCAUCAUCCAGUUUGAUUCAAAAUUGUUGCUCAAAAGGCCAGCACUUGUUUGCGUUUUUCAACGCGCAACCUACUUAUAAUCGCAAAGAGCCAAUUGAUAGUCUUAGCAACGUCAAGGCUAAUGUUUAUUUAUUACGUCUUUUGUAUUACAUCAUAAAAUACUCCGUUCGUUUUACGUAAAAUGGAUCAUUUUCGGAAAAUAUUUUUCCAGAAGUCAUUUUCCAGAAAAAUAACAAUAUUUUCUGGUGUUCGAUAAGGAAAAUAUUUUCCGCUCCCAAGAUUGGUGAGCAUGAGCGUCAAGCUCGAGGCUUGCCAAGAAAGAAGAAGAUGGGAAAUAAAGAAAAGAAAAAAAAGAAAAAGAAAAAGAAAAAGAAAAUUAAAAACAAUUUGAAUUAAAAAAGAAAAAGAAAACUAAAAAAUAAUUCGAAUAAAAAAAGAAAAGAAGAAGAAGAAAGGGGAGGAGAAAGUGAGGAUUUGUAGAUGUGUAAGAUAAGAGAGAUUAAGUGAGGAAAAUGUUUUUCAUUUUUCAAAAGUGAAAAACAUUUUCCCCUACUUUACCACUCACUGCGGUGGCGUAGUUGGCUUGAGCUUUGUGUCUCCCACGAAAGGUGCCAAGUUUGAAUCCCAGCUGCGUUACUUGGUGACUUAACCGCUGGCGUGAGUGUGGUGGCCAGCUUGCGUCAGCCCCAGCCCCGGGUUAUUCCCGCCGACUAUCGGCUUUCGGGGUUUCCCGAGUUACAAAAAAAAAAAAACAUUUUCCCCUACUUUAGAAGACUUUUUUCCUUUGAUCGAAAACAUUUUCCUUAAGGAAUUUAUUUUUCGUGAAACGAAUGUCGGAAAAUCCGGAAAAUGUUUUAUUGGAAAUUAUUUUCCGUGAAACGAACGGAGCUAACCAAAAGAAAAAAAGUAUAUUUUAUAUCUAAACAAAUUAAUGAUAUGUUUUGACAGUACUUUUAUAAUAUUAUUUGAGAGCUAUGUAUUCUCAACAAAAUAAUAAUCAACAAACAUGUUUAACUAAAUUAAUAUUUUUUAACAUGAUACUUAUUAAACUUGGGAAGUUUACAUUUGAGUGAUGAAAUAACUUUUCAGUUACAACAUUUUUAGAUAUUUAUAGAAGAAUGAUAAUUAGUAAUAAAACUAAACAAUUUCACAACCAUAUGCUUGCACAGAAGUGAUAUUAACAUAAUAUAAUUAUUCUUCAUGUCCGGUCUAUCUCUUAGCAAGAUCUUAUUAAUUUAUGGGCAAAAUUGAUCAUAAAAUUAUAUAAUUGCUAUUUCUUUGUAACAAAAUCAACACGAAAUGAAAAGUUAGCAUCAAACAUAUAUAGUAAUGACGAGAUAUGAAAAUCAUUUAUAUAACUUUUGAUAUGUUUCUCCCACAUACAAUAAAAACCACUUGUUGAGGAAACACAUGAUAAGAAAGGAAUGUAAAACAUGCGCGUACUUCUUGGGAUGGAAUUCCCAUUUUCAUUUUGCUAUUGAGAAUUGUAAACAAGGUACAACAGAAAAAGAGGGGAACUCUACAAUUGGGAUUCUUUAGUGCUGUUACAUGCUUUGAUGGUAACUUUGAUAUAUGCAUUUGAAGUUUUGAGCCGUAAGAGACAUGUUGUUUCACAUAUAAAGGAUAUGAGUUAGUUUCUUAUUUCCCAUAUAAAGGGCAUGCGAUUUUGAAGUGGUGUGUGCAUAUAUUAAUUUUGAAAGGGUGAGACUUUUGGGAAUUGAAAAGCUGCAAAUUGUGAAGGGCAUAAUUGGAAGAGGAAAAGUUUGGGAAGACCCUCUAGAGCUUCACAUUUUUACAUAAAUUACCACAACCUGUCAUGUCAUGAAAUCGAAAGUGAGAAGCCUAAGUCAUGAUAGUACGUCAACAAAUUUGAAAUCAAUACAUUUUUUUCUCAUAUACAGUUGCUUUCAACCCAUUAUUCAAAACAACGAUUUACAAUGUUGCCUAAUUGCAGGGCACUAGUAAAAUUGAGGCCCUUCGUCUUGACUUAGAUAAUGGGAGAGAAAGUUACACAGCUGAAACAUUUAAAGAAUUGACCAAAUUGAGGAUACUUCAACUGGAAGGUGUGAAUCUCACUGGACAUUUUCAGAACUUGUUUCCUCAACUAAGAUUGCUUGAGUGGAUGGAUCAUCAACUGGAUUUUGAAUUGACCAACUUUCACCUGAAGAAAUUAGUCGUGUUCGAUUUGUCGUGGAGCAAGAUUUCGAAGAACUGGGGAGGAUGGAGUCAACUAAAGGUAAAAUGUAGAGAAUGCAUAUCUCUUACAAAUAAUCACGUGUUGUCGAUGGGCCCAAUUGCACCAAGUUAUCGUUUAUUUCUUUUGAAAAUAUAUAUUAUGGAUUUUCUUCUAAGCAUAAGAGGAAUUUAUAGGCACCUAAAUAUGUCAAAAGCUUCUACCCCUUAAUAUUUUAGUAAACUAGUCAUGCUUAACAUCAUACCUACUAAUAAAAACUUUUUUAAUCGUAUUAAUGAAACAUCUAUCAAAAAUAUAAUUACAAUAAUGUGCCCAUGUUAAUUUUAAUCUAAAUGGUUUAUGGCUUCUAGUUAAUUUCUCCCCAUGCAAAAGUAUGUCUUUUUAGCAAUUCUUGUUAUAUGUAUGUAUGUAUCUUCUUUCAUAAAAAUGCAAAGACCCUCACAGUGACUUGUGUUUUACAUACAUACUAAAAUUCUAAAUUCAUUGUUACUUUUAAAGUAAUGGAAAUAAUUUGUGAACUGCUUUGACUUGUUGCGCACAAUAAUUAUUCAUUAUUAUUGUUGAUUGUUGAAGUCACCGUACAACACAUUUAUAAAGUAGUAAUGUCAUAUGAGUAACACAACACUUUUUUAUGGCUUGUACAUAUAGCAUUUAAAAAUUGUUUUUCUUAAUUAAAGUAGCCAUUUCUCUUUAAUUUCAUACUAAUUGAAGGAAAGCACCAAAUGAAUGCAUCUCAUUUCUUCCAUUUGACUUUGUCAUAUUAAUUUGAUAAUAAAAUUUGUGUAUCUCUAUUCAAUAAAUAACAACAUAGUCAUAACUUUGAAAAACUAAACAUGACAUUUUCUAAGAAAUUUUAUUUGCGAAAAAUUGUAGAUAGCACUCAUACAUCCCUAACAUUCUCUUCGCAAUGAUAUGCUUAAAAACAUUUAUAUGCUAGCUUCGCGAAUACACUAUUGAAAGAAAACAUUUAAAAUUAAAUAAGAUAGUUGUGUAAGUGUGGGGAGAAUGGGAUUUUUUUUUUAUCCAAUCUCAAAGUGGUAACCUCUUUCUUUCAGAUAGCAACCGAGCUCAAGGUUCUCAACCUUACGAAUUGUGCUUUGAGAACAAUUCCCGACUUGUCCGCUUUCAAGAGUUUGGAGAUUUUGAUACUUGAAGCUUGCGAGGAUCUAGAAGAGAUUCAUCCUUCUAUUGAGGACAUCAAGACUCUUGUCUCCUUGAAUGUCAGUAAUUGUUUGGAGCUAAAGGAGCUACCACUAGGAGUAGGUAGAAUGGAAAAUUUGAGCAAGCUUCUCAUAGAUAACACUAAUAUACGAGAAAUUCCUAUUUCAAGAGGUUGUUUGACAAAGCUGGAGACUUUACAUGCCUCAGAUUGUAGACGGCUUGCUCGACUUCCAGAAUCCUGGGGCUCCCUUAUGUCGUUAACUCAACUAGACCUAAAAAAAACAGAAAUUGAAGAAUUACCUGAAUCCAUUGGAUCAUUAAAGAAGCUCAAGACUCUAAAUACCUCUUAUUGUGCAUCGUUAACCUGCCUACCCAACUCAAUAGGCGAUUUAGCAUCUCUAUGUUGCCUUGACCUAAGCAAUUGCCAAAAGCUUGCUCAACUUCCAGACUCCAUAGGCUCCCUUGUGUCUCUAUCGCAAUUGUUGUUGUCGAGAUGCCACUCGUUGAGACAAAUCCCAUGCUCGAUUGGAAAGUUGACAUCAUUGACUGAGCUGCAUUUGCAAUCUACGGCCAUUGAAGAAUUACCUGAAUCCAUUGGUUCAUUGAAGGAGCUCAAGACUCUAGAUGUCUCUUAUUGCACAUCGUUAGCUCGCAUACCCAACUCGAUAGGCAAGUCAAUAUCUCUAUCUCGCCUUGACCUAACAGGAUGCCAUAAACUUGCUCAAUUUCCAGACUUUAUAGGCUCCCUUGUAUCUCUACAGCAGUUAUUAUUGUCGGGAUGCCAUUUGUUGAGACAAAUCCCAGACUCGAUUGGAAAGUUGACAUCAUUGACAGAGCUGCAUUUGAAAGUUAAAGAUAUUGAAAGAUUACCUAAAUCCAUUAGUCUUUUAAGGAGCUCAAGACUCUAGAUGACUCUAAUCAUGCAUCGUUAGCCUAUAGACCCAUUUCAAUAGGCAAUUCAACGUCUCUGUCUUGUCUUGUCCUAACAGAAUGCCAUAAGAUUGCUCAACUUCCAGACU